RNAcentral lists this long non-coding RNA (49487 nucleotides) under Solanum tuberosum (potato). RNAcentral's name for it is "long non-coding RNA (STUB_LNC002050)". Lineage: Eukaryota; Viridiplantae; Streptophyta; Magnoliopsida; Solanales; Solanaceae. The record is from RNAcentral.
CCUUAGAAUCACUCAUGUUGUGCAGAAAACAGCAGUGCCGGAACUGAUUGUUGAUUUCUGAAUAAUAUAAGCUAAAGUUAACAACUUUACGGUGAACUUAUGAAAAGUCAAGGAUUGCUUUGAAACCCUUGUUGCUGCAUCAAUAUAAAACAUGAAAUAGGAAGAUACAAAAAGGGAGAAACAGGGCAUUUAAGAUUAGAUGAAGAAAAUCCAAUAAUGAACCGGAGAAGCAUCGAACAAUCCCAAUAAAAGUAGAACUCCAAAACCAAUAAAGACAAGGAUUGAAAUAAAUAAGGAUUUUGGGUUUUUCGUGAGUUUUGUGAGUUUUGUGAAUGUUUUAGGACAGUGGCUUAUAGGUUUCUUAGGUUUUUUUGGCUGCGGUCACUUUAUAUAUGAGUUAGCAGCAAAUUCCUGUUUCUCAAUCGCUUGAACAAUUGGAAAAAUGAGAGUAUAUGAUAUUAAUUUAUUUUUAAAAAAAAUGGAUAUAAAUUUCAUUUGUAAAGAAAAACUUUUGAAUUUUUGUGACCGGAAACAAUGUUUCAUUUGAGAUAUAAUUAAUUUUUUAAUGUAUAAUUUCAUAUGUUCUUCCAAUCAAGCAAGUGACCAACGAUUGUCGCCAAAACAAGACGUAUAGAUUAGAGACUUACAGUCAAAAGCAAGUGACCAAUGAUUGUCGUCAAAGCAAGAAGUAUAGAUUAGAGACUUACAGGAUCAGGUGGGAACUUGACAAGCCUCGCGGUUACUAAGCUUUCAAAAGUGCGGCGCCCGAUCACCUGUGUUUUGUGUAGAACUGAAAGUUUAAUGCGGCCGACUUUAAAUAGGUCAAGAACUUUAUAUUUAAGGUUAAGAUUUGGAGCAAAAUAUUAUUAUUCAAGAUUUUGUUCUCCGUGUUUAAGCUUAUAAACAAGAGACAUUCCAUAAAUGAUUCAAUUUGGCAUUCUUGCAAAAUCUUUCUCUUUAAACUUGUUAAAGGAGAACAGCCUACUAGAAUUUAAAAGUACUUCAAUAAGAUUAUUAGAUUGAGGAAAAUUACUAGACUGAGACAUAGUUUAAUAACCUAAUUGAUGAAAAGGCUAAAAUAUGAAGUGCAUAAGUUCAUUUUUCAGUGUCUCUCAUGCACAUAUGCUAGAAAACUUGAAAGAUACGAUAUACUUUCAUAUAUGAAAAAGGCAAAGCAUCAUCUUACAAGUUUAUUAGCCAUAUCGAGAAUUCAAUACUUUCAUAAAUAAGGGCUUAUUAUGACUUCUAGACAUGAAUGAGUAUUUUAAAGAUAAUAUUGAUUUAGGUGGAGGAGGUGUUGUUUGAGAGAUCAUAAUGAAUCAUGACAUUUAGUAGGGGUAAUAGGUCCUGCCCAAAGUUUGGAACUGUUACAACAAUUUUGGUCAAAGUUCGGUUAUAUUUCAGACUUUUUUCUCUUUUAAAAAACGUAUUUGGGGAGAGUCUCAAAGCAGAGUGUAAUAAAAACACACUGAAGCGAUUUGUUGGGGUGAAAGUACUUGAAACAUAAUCAUAAGUCCUGUCAAUUUGGACAUACAAGUAGGCGUUGGGUGAAGUUUUGUUUUGGGAUGUGAACUCAGAAAAUAAAAUGCUAAUCAAAAUAAAAGUAAUUGACUAAAAAAACUAAUCAAAACUGCUCAUCUAAAAAAACUAUUACACUUCUUUAAAAAAUUAAAUAGAUUUUUUGUUUUUUUAGAUGAAGCGUUUUUAUAACCGUAAGUCCCGUUAAUUUUGCUUUUUAGAUAAAGCAUUUUUAUAUAUAUGUACAGUUAAAGACAAUGCAGAUUCAUGUGGAGGAGGUGGUCGUCUGAGAAGUCAUAAUGAAAAUAUAAUCAUUACAUUUAGCAGUGUUUUAAAAAGUAUUUUGGGGCGAGUCUCGAAGUGGAGCUUGAUAAAAAGUCACUAAGGCAAUUUGUUGAGGUAAAAGUACUCUGAGACCUAAUCAUAAGCCUCUGUCAAUUUGAACAUAUGAGUAGGUGUUGGAUGAAUUUUUAUUUUGGGAUGUGAGCUCUGAAAAUCUCUCCUAAAUAAAAUUAAAAGUUCUAAGUAAAUCCUUAAAUUAAUAUCAAAAGGCCACAAAAUUCGACUUGUUAUAAAAAAUUUAAAAAUUAAGAAAAAUUUAAAUUUAAAUAUUUUUUAUUCUUAGCUCUAAUUUUAUUCUCUCUCUUCGUCUUUCACCAUGUAAAGGAGAAAAAUUAUCAAUAUGCAAAUUACAAAGUAAAAAAUGCAUCAUUCUUCGUCACUUAUUCUGAUAGGAUACUUCUCAUGAGUCCGGAGUCAAAAGGGCAAAAAAAAAAUUGUCAAAAAUUCUAAAAGGGCACAUCAAAUUUUUUUUAACCAAAAGGGCAAAAUCGCUUCUGACCGAGUGAUUUUGAAUUGACGCCGUUACUCCGUUAGAAAACAUAAAAAUCACUGCGAGUGAUUUCAUUCAAAAAAAAAAUUCUUAAAAUCGUUGUUGUGGCAGCGAUUUUGUCAAAGAAAUUUUUUUAACAACCUGCCCCUACAGCGUUUUUCUCAAAAAAAAAAAAAAAUUGAAAUAGCUGCUAUAUUUUCUUUAAAAAGUUUUAAAUUUUUUUAAAAAAAUCACUGCUUUCUUCAAGGGAACAAUAUAUUUAAAAUGCAAAAAAAAAAAAAAUUAAUGAAAUCGCUGCCUUGCAAGUGAUUUUAAAAAAAAAUAUUUCACUUUUUAAAGAAAAUCGCUGCUAUUUUCAAUAUUAAAAGCUAUUUUUUGAGAAAUCGCUGCAGGGGGGCGGCGAUGUUAAAAAAAAUAAUUAACAGAGUAACGACGUCAAUUUUGUCAGAAGGAAAUCGCUCCGUCAGGAGCGAUUUUACCCUUUUGGUUAAAAAAAAUAAUUAGUGUCCCCUUUUGAAAUACUAACAUUCAGCUCCUUUUGGGGAUAUUAAUAAUGAUAUGUUUAAUGUAAUUAUUAAAUCGAAUUCAUACCGUAAUUCAUAUCAUCAAUAACUAGACUAUUUGAAUUAUUCACUAAUUGUGAUUGAUGUCAUCAAUAAAAAGAAAAAAAGGUCUUCGCAUAUGCAAAUUAAGAGCAUUUUAGAAAAGAUUGAUACUUUGAAAGGGAAAAACAAUUAUAUUUUGCUCACUAUUAUAAAGAGACAAAUAUCAUUGGAGAUAUAAUGGCUAACGGAAACCUAAAUAUUUUACCUUGAAAUAAUUAAUAAAAUUAUUACAUAUAUUGAUGACUCAGUUGUUUGCAAAUAUCAUCUCUGCCAUCAAAUUUUAGAAACAUAUAUUUUUAAAUGUUACAAUUUCCUUUAGAAAUAAAUCAUAAUCAAAUUCCUCGCUACAUGCCUUUUCGGGAUUAUUGUGAUGUAUAAAUCAAUUUGUGUGCACCUCGAGUAAUUUCUUGAGGUACCUACUACCUCCAACAGGCUUAAUCACAGCCUUCUAAACUCGGUGGAUAAUGGACCCGCCCCUUUUCCCUUCUCCACUUAAAUACCAGGCUUUGCUUUGCAUGGUGUGGGAAACAUUUUGCAUUUAACCUUUGAAAAGGUGUCUAUUUAAGUCUAUCAAAGUUAUAAGGAUUUCAUUGCUGAAAACUAAGCCCAUCAACUCAAUAAUACAAUUGUUUUGCUUUCACAGUUACUUUUGUAUUUUACCAGCUAACAUAAUAACCUAGCUUAACUAGAUAAUAAAGGGUAUCCUAUCGAUGUUUUUGACAUAGCUUACCUACAUAAUACAUGUACAUUACAAUGAUAAACAUACAUUCCUCUCACCAUCUACACUGCCAAGCACUGUGCAAGAUCAUAAAAGUAGCCCGACAAUGCGGAUGGAACCAACGACGCUCUUUCUUUGUUAUUGAUGCCAAAUGAAAAUGUAUUUUGGAUAUGAUAUGAAGCUUUUAUACACAUCCUUGGUCCACCAUACCACUGGCGAUCGUUAGGAAAGCAGAGAUCACUGCUCCAUGGACCAAUGCCCUGCAAAUAAAAGGAAACGACAACCUAUUGAACUGAACGACAUUUGAAUAAGAAAAAUAUCUACUCAGGCAACACCUAUCACGGGAACAAUUUCCUUCUAACCGUUAAUUUAAAUUAGUGUAUGCAUCUAUUUACUAAAUCUGCAAGAAUGGGGAUAAUUACCCAUGCGAAUUUUUGUGGUGUCAGUUUUAGAAACUUACUCUGGACUUUCCUUUUGAUAACCAAAAUCAGUUGCUGCUUUCAGGGCUCUCUGGUAAGUCUGUUUCAUAGCCUCCUGCAGAAAGCAAGAGAUCCAACUUCACUGUUAACUAGGAAUGACAUUUGCAACAAAAUGGAAAACAGAACAAUAGAAGCACCUGCAGGAGAAAAAGAUGCUGCUAGCAUGCUACUAUAUAGAACCUCAUCUUGAGACAAUUAGUGUUGGCUUACAGAAUAUUUAAGGUCAAGAAGGAUGAUAAAAUACUGCAUGAAGAUGAAUAACAUGGGGAUAUUCUCGAAAAAACUGACUCCAGCAAACGUUAAUUUUGUUGGCUAGACAAGUAGGAAAGCAUAACAAGUUUAGUUGAUUGGCACUUGCUCCAACUGCAUAUAUUUGAUCAUCACAUUCAAACUGAGAAGUUUGAUCACAUUGACACCUCUAACUGUUGCCCUCUCCCCCCAUAACCAAAAGGUAAAAGAAAAACCCCAGUUCUGCAUCAAGAUGUAAGUGUUAACCUGUAAUUUAGACUCAAAAUCCUCUGGAGACCAGUUCAAAUUGCACUCUUUCAGUUCAAGUUCCCCUGCAACAACCUGCAAUGGAUAGUAAGAACUUUUAUCAAUCUAAGAAAUGUACACAAACAAGUUGCAGCAAAGUCACUCCACAACAGAAGAAAAUACGGGAAACCUAGUCAAAUAUUAGAGCAUGGCUAGAUAUAAUGUUGAUACAAAUUGGUGCUUCGUGGUUGUUGCAUUAACUUGCUAAGCUUCUGUCUAAAACAAGCUUCAUAAAACUACAACUUCACAAGCUCUAUCUCAUAAAGGAAAUGUCAAAAUAAGAUGCCAAUAAAGGAAAAGAUGAUAAAGUAAAAAGAAGAUGAUGAAAGAAAUUGGAAAUGAAUCUUUUGAGGACAUCAAAAAAGUGACACGCCCUCGUGGAAAGCCAGUGAACUGCAGGACAGACUCCGAAAUUAUUUCCUGUGUAAACAUAAAACUGGGAUCAGAUGAAGAGAAUGUGGCUUCCUUCUCCCAUUUCCAUCAUGAGUUCACGGGAAUGAACCUUUUUCUUCCCAGUUACCAAGAUGAUUCAUCCUUAGCCUUCCCAAUACAAUCCAUCAACAAGGUCAAUAUUACAGUUUGAAUACCUACUUUAGCACUAUAUCUUGCCCAUGUUGGCAGAUUCAAUGCCAGUAUUAGUGCCACGGGGAAGCAUAAGCUCACUUUGAACUAAAGCAAAAGAUAGUAGAAUGUCAUAAUGCUAAAUCUUCAAAUCCCUAUAUACAUAGAAAAAAAUGACUUCCGAAGCAAAUUCAGGUAGUGCUUGCCAUUUUUCAACAAAUGAGAUACACGUAUCAUGAAAAGAGAGUAGUCGAGAACAGAGGAUCCUACCCCUCCCACACCAGCAGCCAUAGAAGGAGCAACUAGGACAUUAGCUUUUCUCAAAACGUCUACUGCUUCAGCAGUACAUGGCAUAUUGGAGCCUACAAAUGAACGGCAAUACAGUUAAAAGUGAUAAAAUUAAAACACGCCAAUUACCCCACUCAUUAAUCAUUAUACAGGUAGGAUGAUGGCCAAUAAUCACAAACAAGUGAGAAUGAUAACACGAUGUUGACCAAUACCUUCUACAAGUAUACGGCAACCAGAGUUAACCAAGUUAAUGGCGUCAGAUUGAUUAAUUUCAUUCUGUGAGGCACAGGGGAAUGCAACAUCAAACCUUUCACUCCAAGGCUUAGCUUCAUCAUAGUACUUUGAGCGAGCAUAAGUCUUUGAGUAGUCUCUGCAAAUAUUACUUAUAAGUAUGCCAUUUAUUCAAAACUUUUAAGGUAUUUGUCUGCACAGCUAUUGUGAAAACAAAAGGAAAAAAAAAAACCUUAAGCUUCUCUGCUGAGCUUUGAUGUCUCUCAGGAAAGAUAUCUUCAAGAAAUCAAAUCCAUCAUCAUCCACCAGAUAACCCUUUGCAUCUGUAAAAUCGUAAUUUGCAAACUUAAUAAUUUAAGUAUUGGAUUGUAUCUGCACCAUAUAAGUGGUGUAAUGAGCUUUGAUUCUCACCUUCCAGAAGAGAAUCUAUUACAAGCAUAAACUGAUUGCUCAGUAAUCCCUCUAUGGUAAGCUCUAAGCCAAGCAAUAAUAUUCAGUUGAACAAGGCAGGUUGCAGACUGUACCAAUUGAUAUUGGAAUACAGAAUUUUUUAAUGGAAUACCUCUCAGACUCAGAGGCGGAUCUAACCUUAAAGCAUGUGAACCUAGUAGCUUUUACUCAAACAUUGUAUGUGUAUUAACAAAUUCACUAAAUACCUAUAAAUAUUUAACUGUGAACUCAACUAUAUUAACUUGUGGUCAUUAUAGGAAGAUAUAAACUUCAAAUACUGGAUCCACCUCUGUGCUCAGUAGUCAUGCAAGCUGAAAACAUUUCAGAAGAAAUCAGAAAGUUUACCAGAUACGGUGAUGGGAACGGCCCCAUAAGCAAUAAGCUUCUCUAGGACAUGCAUUGCAAUCUUUCCAGAACCGCUAACUGCACACCUGUACAUACAGACAAGGGUAAACCAGAGGAAUUAUUACAAAGCCACACAUUACUCGAAGAAAGAAGGGACAAAGCCAAAGAGAACAAUAAGUUUAGUGAACAAUCUCAAUUUUUAGGCUACUGUGGGUGUUCUUCCCAUCAUGUUUAAUUUCUUUUUGAUCGAUUCAUCCCAAAACAAAGUGGCCAAACAGAUUUUUGCAUUGGCUAAAUUGAAAUUGUUCCAGUGAAUGCUUUAAACUAUUGACUUCAUCUUACUCGAUCUACACGACCUUUUCCAUCAGCACAGUAAAACACAUAGACCCUAAGAAUUACUUCAUCACCAAAAUCACAGACGGAAAAACUGAAGUCAGGAUAACGAGUAAAAAUACAGUUGCCGCGUGCCAUAUCAUCAGUAGCUAUGAAGCUCAAAAUAGAUAUUUAUCAAUGAUAAUCAUAAAGACGAAAGAAACUAAGACUUAAAAGGCAAUAUGAUGGGAGGAAACUGCUAAUGGACAUUACAGUACUUUGAUGCCAAGGUGCAAUAGAAACAGUCACACAAAAUACUUCUCAUACAUCAGCAAACAUAAAGCGCAAACAGCUUUUCUUUUCUACUUUGAUACCUGCCUAUGUAAAAUUGCAAAUAGUUUCGAAGCCCAUAAAUAUGUCUUGGAGAGGGCAGGUUAAGAUGACCUAAUAAAGUGCUACCUAUGGUGUGUAUACUUAAAACUAUUAAUAAGGGUGUUAAGAAGAUAAUUUCUCAAAAUAUGCACAAGAUUUGUCAAAAUGCUGGCUUUUAAUAUCCAUUUAAUUGGACCUCUAUGUAUUCCGGAUUUUGAUAAAUGUUCAAGUGUCUGUGAAACCAUCUAGCUUUCAGACUGGAAGAUCCAUACAAGAACUCAAACUGAAGGCUGUAAAUUAUGACAAAUGGAGUGGGAAAGUAUAAAUAUCUACAUGCUACCAAUUCAUGUUUUCUGACAAAGAUCUCCAUGAACUUCUAGCAGGCUUACCACUUUUCAGCUGCACCCAUGAUGUAGGUAUUCUUAUAAUGGCAAACAGAUCCACUGAUAUUGCCAUUAAUGAAGAUCAGUAAAAUAAACCCCAAAUAUUAGGCUAUUUUUCUCUUAUAUUUCUGAUUUCACAGACAAAGAAAUCUGUAAUUGAAGGGAUGGUACCUUAAUCCUUUUAGUUCUUUGUUCAUGUCUGCAAGCAUAAGCUGUGCAAAGAAAACCUGAAAAUUGCAAGACAAAUUAGUUGGCAGGAACUAGACAAGUAUUUAACAAUGCAAAACAACCAGAGAAAAAAAAGAGACUUCACCAAUCCGUAGCCAGUAGCCUCAGUUCGAAGACUGGAGCCUGACCAAUUUACUCUAGGUCCUGUAAAACUUCCCUGCAUAACAUGAAAUGUGUAAAAUUCAGUAAUUCAUAUAACUAUUUUUUUAUGAUAAAGGAAACCCGCAGCCGCUACCCUUUGGGUGAGCACGGGGUAAAACCCCCGCUCCUAUGCAAUAGCUCGCAAACUACAUAGGAGCGGUAAUCCGCACUAGGCAAGCCCGGUGCGACGAGCUCGACCCAAAAGGCAAACCCCUUGCUUCGCUGGCAAGGGGUUUCAAACUUGAGACCCUCCAACAUGGAAAUCCCAAGCCCAAACCACUGGGCCACCUCGAAGGGUUCAGUAAUUCAUUUAACUAUAACUGAAAGGAAAGAGAGAGGAGAAAGGGAAAGGAGAAUGUUUAUAAUCAUUUGGAUGAUGCACAAUAUUUAGUCCAACGAAAAAGGUUUAAAGUAAACUUAUUUUUUUGAUAAUAAGGUUUAAAGUAAACUUAUUCAAAGACACCAAAUCUGGUGUUUCAGGCAUGAAGAAAUGUUUAUCAAGAAAAGGUAAAUGUAUUAUAUGUAUAGCACCAAGAAGGUGCUGUCAAAAGUACUAACAAACUAUCUUUUUCUAUUCCUAAAGUGAUUCUAUAAGUUCUAUCACUUUUUAUCAUCAUCAUUAACAUAACUCUGUUUACACCAAAAAAUAAAACAAAUGUAAACAGCUCAUUUUGAUCUUUCCAAUGGACUCUUAAAGAAAUGUUGAUUAUCUAGUCUUAACAUCUUAGCAACAUCAAGUGCUUCAGGACUAUGCGUUAUCUAUAUGAUUGGCACAGCUCUUAACAGGUGUUACCAUGACCAUAUAGUCAAUUAGAGACGUGUAUAGAAACAAACAAACAAGAAAAUGAAAAAAAUAACACUAGUCAUACGGAGAUGCUUUAUCUAGAAGAGUUAGAACCCCUAAAGGAAAGGACUAAAACCGCUGCAAAAUUGUUACCAGUAUCUUAACUUAUUACAAAGACAGCCAAACAACUUCCAUAUACAUACUUGCAAACCAAUACUUACUACGAACAUUUUAUGUUACAUCAAGGAUAAUAAGCUAGAUCUACCUGUUUAUCAAUAAUAAAGAGCCACUUAGCAUAUGUGAAUCAUUAGCUAAUUUUGGAAGUAUUUUUACUGCUUUCCUACUUUAAAGUUUCCUAAUUUAAAAGUUUCUUAAUUUAAAGUUUCCUAGUUAGAUUUUUAGUAGAAUUUGAAGCUCAUGCUAUUUGGGAUAUGUUGUCCCUAUAUAUGUAGGGAUGAAUUUUGUUAUUUUCAAAAGCCAUGAUUAAUAUUUUUUGAGAGUUUUCUCUUCUUUUACACCUUUGUGUGUGGUGACUAUGGAUUUAUAUUCUUCAAGAGUUGAGAUUAAUUCUUAACUUGAUAUCUUUGGUAUCUAUUAAAGAAAUUAGUCUUAUACUAAUUGUUGUCUCUAAUUUCUACGAAAUAGGGAUCCAGAUCACUUUUUAUCUAAGUUCUUAGUUUACUCUAUUAGUAUCAUAAUUAGCUUUUAUCCAUUAUUUUUUAAAAACUAAGAUCAAUUAGGGUUCUUCGCACUUGAUUUCAAAAUUUUGGGAUUUUGUUCGCAAAUUUCGCCUAUCUUUGAUUUCUUGCCUUUAAUCUUAGUAUUUCCGCUUCCGCAUUAUUUUCUUGUUUAUUCAAGUAACCUGAUUCUUAUCAAAUCCCUAUUAUAAAAAAGAAUGGGGUUACUAAAUAUCCCACUUACUUCUAGUGGUUACUCAUGAAUUUGUUUCCCAUCUUUAGUCCUUUCAAUUCAUUCACCCCAUUCCUUUUAUUGACUUCUUGCUCCUGUUGCUUGCCUAUAUUCUAUUGCCUCUUGCCGUUAUGAUUUAAAACCUGCAUUGUAAUAAAUCCUAUUUUCCCCCAUUAUAAUGUCGUAGAAUUUAAAACCUGCAUUGUUAUGAAUCUUAUCUUCCUCCGUUAUAAUGUUCCGGCCUAACUACCGCAAAAAAAAAAUGUAAAUGUUGUUGGAGUGAAAUCAACCUAGAAAGGCCUAACCUCGAAAAGUAUGCCUGAGAGCAUUUUAUCUAAGGGGGUUGUCUUUGGUUUUGCAGAUUUGAACAUAACAUCAUAAUGCUAACUUAACACAAAAGCAAAUAACAUAAUGAUAUGUACUUGUUCAUAUCCUCCCCCCCAAGAGUCAAGACUUUGGUCUAGUGGUAAGAGCGCAACAUUGAUGUGUCACGUCACAGAUUCAAACCUUAUAAAAUAUAAAAACUUCGUAUUUAAGAGGAGAAUGUUAGAGGGGUGGGUGGAUUAUCGACGAGUUUAGAACUGUGCGUUACUGGCCCUCGGGGAACUUACAGUUGAAAAAUGAAAAAAAUAAUCCACCACCUCCUCCUCCUCUCUUUUUUUUUCUUCUAUUUUUUGCCUUUUUUGAGUUAAAAUAUCUGAACAUUAAGCUUAGCAUAAUGUUCUGCUGUCAUCCCGUGAAAUUCAGCAAAUUUCAUAUAUGUGAAUUAUCAGCCUCUUGAUUCUUGUAUAUGUUUUAAGGAAAUUAGCUCGUCUGGACUUGACCAUUCUUAUCCAUUGCCACACUAGAUGCAGGAAAAGAAAGAAAUUGGAGGACCAGAAGGAUAAGAUCUUAAAUAUCAGAAAAUUAAUCAUCUUCACCUGUGAAUGACCCGCCAGUCGGCGAUAUUGUCCAUGCAAAAAGCCCAUUUCUCGAGUACCAACACCCAUCUCCUCCGAAGGAAGAUCCUACAUGAUCAGACGAUAAAUCAAACUACAGAAUUUAGAUCUGAUUUGACAGGAAACUGAAAGUGAAAACAGAUGUAGACAUAAGUAUUUAGCUACCUUUUCAGGACCCAAAUAACGAUACAGUUCAUUCAUAAAACUCUGACAAAAUCGCAUAACCUACAGUGAAGAAGGCAGAAAAUAGAAGAUUUUAGAAAAACAACAACAACAACAACUACUACUACUACUACUACUACGCCACAAUGCAAUAAAAAAUUUGGGGACCAUUAUAGAAGAAAGUCUAACGCUUGAAAUAAACUUGUGACUAGAAAUCAACAUGGUUAAACGAUAAGCAUAUACCUCACCAUCACUUUUGCUUUUAGGAUCAAAAUCACUUCCACCUGAAGAACCCCCAAGUCGGUAAGGCGACAAGGCAUUUUUCAAAGUCUACCAGACGAGAGCAAAUCAAACAUUAUGAGAAGCAGCAUACUUUUUCAACUCAACUUCACACUACACCUUCAUCAAAAAGAUUAGAUGGGAAAAAGAUACAGCAAUCGCUUGUACACUAUAGAGCAAAUAUACACACAUUAUAAGUGUUCUGAAGUAAAAUUAAAAGACUAAGAUAGAUGGCAGAAAAUCACCUGUCCAAAGCUAAGAAAUUUGGCAAUACUCAGGUUCAUUGAUGGAUGGAACCGGAGACCACCCCUGCACGGACCUAGAGUCUGAUUAAAAUGAACCCGAAACCCUCGGUUCACAUGCGUCUCACCCCUAUCAUCAACCCACGGCACUCGAAAAACAAUUGUGCGCUCAGGUUCUAAUAACCGCUCCAUGGUGCUUACAUAACUAACACAGAGUAAAGUUUCCUUAUCAGAGUUGUAAUGAUUACUCUUCAUACAUAUGGUUUACGUUCAAGACACUUACCUUGAGUUCUUUGAAAUGACUCUUUCUAAAGCGUGAAUCGCUUCUUGAACAGACUGUAUGAAUUCUAGCUCAUGAGGAUCCCUUUUCAGUGCAGCUUCAAUAAUCGAUCCAGCCGUUUUUGACAUAAGAGCUUUUAAGAGAUUUCAACAGCAAUGAAGAAGUUAGAGAAAUAUCUCAGUCUCUCGGAAAAAAAUCCGACACCCACAAAAAAAGAAACAAGAAUGAUUUGUGAAAUGACUAUGUAUUCUUGAGUGAAAAUAUGUGUGUGAGCUUUGGAGAUGAGACAAAUUGAUUUCAGUGGUUAUUGUUUUUCUUUUACAAAACAGCGCACAUAGAAUUAAACAAAGAUGGGCCCAUGAUGAGAAACUACACUUGUCACAAAUUUACAACCCCAUCCAUCAAUAUGGAAUAGAAGACCAAAACCAACUCUCGACUCGGCCAUACUUGAUGUCACACAAAUACUUCUCAACAUAAGGGUCAAUGUAGUAUGUUAAUUAAUUUGUUUCCCUAUUCAAUAGUCAUACAAAUUCAUGCCAGCAUACUGGAUAAAGCCUGUUCUAGAAACUUCUAGACUUUCCCAUAAUGCUUAUUGUAUUUGUUUAGUUGGCUCAAUCAGGCCCCUGUAACUAGUUGUGUUCAAUUUUUGGAUUGUGUCUGCUCCUUGGUGAUGGAAGUUCUUUGGUGUAUAUGAGCAGGCACUAUCUCCCUUUCUUGCAAUCUUUUGCUUGCAUCGUCUGGAUGAUUUUUGCUGAAUUACCCUUACUUCAUCGAAAAGGCUUAUGUGGGAAGAUGUCCCUGGAGAUUGGCCCAAGUGGUAACAGUGUAUUGUGUGAUGUGUGGGUUAGGUGCACAUCAUGGUUUUGAACCUGUACAUAAGUGAAGGGUAGAGGAGUAGACCAUUAGCCACCAUGUUUGAACCGUGCACCAUUGGCUCCAGGGAUUUCUCAGUUACCAAAAAAUGAGAAAAAAAAUAUGUUGAAAGAUUUACAAGUUCUUGCUUAAAUAUUAACAAAUUAGCUCUGCUCUUAGCACUGACAUCAAACCCAUAUAGCUCAAUUUAAGUGGGGGGAAGGCUGGAGUCUAUGAACUCCUCUAGGAAAAAAGACAAAUUAUGAUCACUGAAAAUACGGUUUCUGCAUCAGUGGAGAUUUGAACCAUGUAUAAUAGAUGAAUUUCUGAAGCUAUCAUCAAUAUACCAAAAGAGGAGGUCCGUAGUAAAGAGUUAACAUAUUCUUGAAAAGGUGUUGAUAAAUUAAAUAAACAAUGCUUUAGAAGUCUCAUACAAUUUUUAAGAUAAAAAAAAAAGUGAAAAGGACAAGGUGGAUACAACCACCAAGAAAACUAAAAAAGGAAAUUACCUUUAACAUACAAAGGUUUAUCAACAACAAUCUUAUCUUUGGAUGCCAUUUGGAGACGAAGAGCUUCUUUGUGAAGUAAACUAUUAUUAUGCUCCUCCAGAGCACUCAUCUGCAUGUUUCGGCUGCCUUCAUUUCCAUAUGGAUUCCUCCUAUGCUUCCUACCAUAUUCUCUGCAAACAGAGCAAAAUAUCCUUGCUGUGCCAUCUUUCACAUCAACAUAUGCCCAUUUAUACGUAUCUGCCCACUCCUCUCUCCAUCUUUUAACGACCUUCUUUUUCUUUUUCGCUGGUUGCGUCUUCAACAAGUCCUGAUUCCCACCGGAAGCCUGAUGAAUCAUCAUCUGCUUGCUCUCAUCAUGGUCUUCGGCUGCAGAUUCUUGUGGUGGAACAUUAAUCAAAGUAUUAUUACUAAAUGAAGGGUCAUCAUCCCCAGGUCCUAUUUCCAAAUCAAUCUCUUCUCCUAUCUCUCUCACUACAAGAUGAUGCCUCUGAGCCUGAUGGAUUAAGUUCAUGUCAUCCAUUGUAGAAUUCAUCCCACCCCCACCAGUUGGAAGUAGCAUUCAGCAUGACAAUUUAUAUACAGUAUGAUUCGGCCAGCUUGCUGCAAACAUAAUACACACUAAUAAAUCUACUUGAUUAAAUCUCAAAAUGCUCCAAUACCAGUGCGCAUUAAGAGUUGAACAGUUAAUCAUAAAUUGAAAAGCAUACUGAAUUUUCUUCUCCGUGUUCAGGGUCAGAAUUUUGGAGGCUAAGUGUUUGCCUAUCUCCUACCUCUAUUUACUUUCAGAUCAGGCUCUACAAUCGCCGUUAGGUAAAAUAAGAAAUAAAAGAGGGGACCAAGGAAGAAGGAGAAACCAGUUGGCUUGAGAUUAUCAACAAAGCAUUCUUCAUGACCUACCAACUUUAUAAAUGCAGUAGCAAAUCCUAGAAAAAAUCAAUUUUCAGUAGUAUACACUCAAAAUUUGUUAUUGAAUAAACAUCGGGUAUUCUUAUUCAUGAAAAGGAAUUGUAUUGCACAUAUACUACUUCCAAAAUUUCCUAGUUACUAUGGACUUGAGACGAAGUGUCCUCAUGAGUAAUAUGAGAAGCUAAUUGUAGUAGGAAGGAUUUAAUAUUAAACUGACAACGAAGAACAAGGAGGGAAGAGUUAAAUAGAAAAUCAUAGCUUAAGUACUAUGCCAUAUGUUGCUGAAGACAAUGUACUUACAACAAGAUUGUUUAAGAAGACGCAAAUUAAACUUGAUUGUAACUCAUCUUAGCUCAAUUUCAAGAAAAACAUUCCUAAUAAUUAUUAAAGACAGUUAUGAACACUAUGGUCUACAUCACUCGAUGGAAAUACAGUUACCAAUUAUGUUAGUUCUAUUACUCAAUGUACUUGGUCAAUACAAGAAAUUGAGGUGCAAUUAAGGGGAAAGGAAGCAUUUCAGAGGUAAAUGCAUAUCUCCUAACUAUAACAAUAGCAUAAGGAGGCGCUGCUGGUGGUCUUCUAAGGCAAAAAUGAGGAAAGGGGAGACAUAAUUAAAGAAAUUGAUUACUGAUUUAAAUCAAGACGGGGAGAAAUAUAUUUAUGCCUCAUUCAUUGCAUUGAUCCUAAAUGAAAGGGGCAAUUGAGAUCAAGGAUUACAGACCAAUCAGCCUUAUAAACAGUGUUUACAAGAUUGCUUCUAAGCUUUUGGCAAGAAGACUUGAAACUGUUACUUGAAGCUAGUCUCUGGUAGCCAGAAUGCCUUUGUCAAGGGAAGGCAAAUCACUGAUGCAUCCUUAUUGCUAACGAGGCAAUGGACUGGAGACUCAAAAGUGGAAAGCCAGGGGUGCUGUUCAAAUUGGAUAUUGAAAAAGUUUUUGACAAAGUGAGUUGGUCCUAUUUGAUCAAUAUGUUGAGACACACGGGAUUUGAGGAAAGAUGGUUAAGAUGGAUUAAAUUUUGUAUCUCAACUGUCAAACACUCUGUUUUGGUAAAUAGGGGGCUUGUGGGGUUCUUCUCUCCUCAAAGAAGCAUCAGGCAAGGUGACCCUAUUUCACCUUUCCUCUUUAUUCUUGUCAUGGAAAGGCAUAGUAAAAUGCUACAAAAAUCCAGGCAGCUUCACUGGAUAGAGGGCUUCAAAAUAGUAAGGAAUAAUGGGUCCCAAGCUACAGUUUCACAUUUGCUUUAUGCAGAUUACACUCUGGUCAUCUGUGGAGCUGAGAGAUCCCAAGUGAUCCACCUAAAUCUAAUUUUGUCUAUUUUUGAAGCUAUCUCAGGGCUACACAUGAACAUGCAAAACAGUAGCAUAUUCCCCGUAAAUGAAGUUGCCAAUCUGGAAGAAUUGGCAGGCCUUAUGGGCUGCAAUAUUGGCUCUUUUCCUUUUAGCUACCUUGGUCUUCCUUGGGUGCUAAAUCCAGUUCCAUACACAUUUGGAAUGGGAUAAUUGAGAAAUUUGAGAAGAGGUUGGCCACCUGGCAGAUGCAAUACCAAUCCUUUGGAUGGAUGAAGACUAACACUAAUCAAUAGUGUUCUGGACUAGAUCAUUAGUCCAGAAAGCUUUCAAGGAAAACAUACAGAGUUGGGCUGUGGAAAGGCAUCAGGAAACUUUAGAGCACCUUUGCUCAGAACACUCAUUUGGCGGCACGGAAUGGCUCUCUUAUAUGAUUUUGGAAGAACAAAUGGUUAGGAAAUUCCAACAUCCAGGAAGCAUUUCCAAACCUUUUAACUCUUGCCCAAGAUCCUGAUGUUGUCAUAGUAUCACACAGAGAAGGGGCUGACUGGAACCUCCAACUUAGAAGGGAUUUGUAUGACUGAGAAUUAUAUGAGCUGCUAGACCUCUACACUAGUCUACAACAAAGCAACCUGAGUCCAUCGGUAGCAGACAGACUUAAAUGCGGCAAUCAAGCAGGUGGCAUCUUCUGUGUUAAGUUGAGCUACCAGAAAAUGUGCUCUUGCAAUCCCCUGCUUGACAACUGGCCUUGGAAGCUCAUAUGGAAAGCAAAAAUUCCACCCAAGGUCAUUUCUUUCACCUGGACAGUCCUGAAUGAGGAAUGCCUCACUCAGGAUAAUCUGAUAAAGAGGAAAAUUCAAUUCACUCACAGAUGCUAUAUGCGUAAAGUGGAAGCUGAAAUCCCUGGCCAUCUUUUUGCUUCAGAUCUAUGGAGCAUGUUUUUGUGCAUUUAUGGCCUCAAAUGGAUCACUCCUCACUCAUUAAGGGAAGCAUACUUGAGUUGGUGCUUAUGGAGAGUUGAUAAAUCCAUCAAGCACAAAUGGAGAAUGAUACUUGCUUGCAUUUUUUGGAGUAUUUCGACAGAAAAGAAUAGGAAAUGUUUUGAAGGGAUCUCAACUCCUAUAGGCUCUAUAUAUUUAUUUUGAAAUAGGUGACUUUAACUCCUAUAGGCUCUAUAAAAGCUAAAUGUAUGGCUAGUCUAUUUUGCUGGUUCAGUUUAUUCCCAUCUAAUAGUUCAGAUCAACAAUUAGACUUCAGUAGUUCCCUAGCUCUGGCAUAGACAGUUUUUGUGUAGGAGCGAGAUGUUUCUGUAAGCUUCAAUGUCAUAUCUUGUAACUACUGCAUCUUUCAAAGAUAUCACUUGCUUCAUCAAAGAAACAAAAGCUCAACUAUUAGGCAAUUCGAGCUGCACACUUCUACCUGCGUAAACUUGGACCUAAAACCAUUCAGCUUCAUGGAUAUAUACAUCACACUAUACAACUUCUAGCCCUUCUAUUGAGCUAUUUUAAGCUUUCUACUCAUCAAUUCAACUCAAUUUUCUAUUAUAGAGAGAAAAAAAAAGAGUCCAAAGCUUCACACGAAUGCUAUGCAUAAAACCUGAAUAGAAAUUAAAUAAAAAAGAUACAAUCUUUAAGAUGCCCUCAAAAGACCUAUAUUUCCGCUACCAUCACCUUACACAGAUGAAAGCUUCUCACGCUUUUCUCAGAUAUCAACGUCUACCAAACAAAUAAACCCAGAAUGCAACAUCCCCAAAACAAAAAAAGAACCAAUUGAAAUAAAACAGAAAUGCUGGGGAACCUCAAUUGGGAGUCCUUUUGAGCAAAGCUAAAAAAUGAAAAGACUCUUACUUUUCAAGAACCCACUCAAAUUGGUUUGAUCAGAUUCUUGUUUCAAGCUUUCUGAAAUGUAACUCCCAAGUUUUCCUCUUCUACAAGAGCUGUUUUCCCAUGUCGGUCCAAUUCGCCAGCAAGGUGCCUCCCAGCUGCUACUGGAUAAAGGGUAAUUCCAACUACAGAAUGCUAAAAAUGGGGCAAAACUGAACUUUCUGAAAGAGAGCCGACAAGGUAGUAGUGUCGAAGCAAUUGAAUUUUGCUAUAAAGUUAUCAAUUUGGCGAGUCUAGUGACUCGCUCUCUGCAAUUGGGGGUUUUUUGGGGAAGAAAGGGGGUGAAUAAUGAAGAGAGAAUUUGGAUUCUUUUUGUUGGGAACAAAACAAAAAAUAAAUAAAAUAGGAAUAAGCAUUUUUCAUUUUUGUUCUAUUUUUUAUUUUAUUUUAUUACAAAAUCAUUUCAAGUAUCUAGAUUUAGUUAGCUUUUGAUCAUUAAUUUCGAAUUAGAUUUUAAAAAUUUAUCUUUGAAUAUUUAUUUGGCUAAAAAAAAUUAUUGUAUUUUAGAAAUUUAAUCUUUAAAUAUUUACAGAUUAGCUCAGAUUACUUUUGAAAUUUUGGGACUUUCACUUAUAAGACUAAAAAAAAACUGUAAAUAAAAUAAAUAUUGAAAGACAAUUUUAAAUUCUGAAAAAUAUAAUUUUAAAAACUAUUUUUUUUAAUUUUUUACAUCAAAAUGUUUUAGUCAAGUAAAAGUUUGUCAAGUUAUAGUAUUAGUUGGGUCCACUUUCAUAAAAUAGAAACUUUAUAUUUAUUUUUAUUAAAAUGUUGCAAUAUCAUAUUAGUGAAAAGGGUAUUAGAUAGAAUAGAAACUUUAUAUUUAUUUUUGUCAAAAUGUAUGCAACAUCAUAUUAGUGAAAAGGGUAUUAGAUGAAUUCUAGUAUGUGAUGUGUUAGAUGAUUUUAUUUUAUUUUUGGUAGAGAAUGAUGUGGUGGCAAAAAACUACUUUAGUGAUGAAUAAAAGUUAUUUAAUUAUCAAUAAAUAAUAAUAAUAAUUUUAAACACUUAGAUGAAUCAAAUGGUAUCAUUAUAAGCUAUUAUAAUGAAAAUAAAGUAUGUGGACGUACAUAAUUAUCGAAGGUAAUUAGGGAAGGCAAAUGAGAGUCAAUCGAAAAAUCGAACAGCUAUGAUUGGAACCAUUCAAACGUACAAAUUGCACAAGUGAAGCUGGAAAAUGGACUACAACAUAUGAUGUAUUUGCUCCAUUACCAUCUUCAACUAAAGUAUUUUCUACGAUAGCAUCACAAAUGACGCAUAGCAAAGAAGUGUUCAAUACAUCAACAACUUAUAUCAUGUGAAAUGGGUUAAAGGUCUAAUUAUGAAGCACUUGAAAAUUAAGAUGAAUUUGAAUAUAGUUGCUACACCAAAACUAAGUACACAUAAUCGAUCAAACUGUCUUAGUGGAUCUUUGCAACUUAACGUAUAUAAUGAACUUUGUAUGUAACUCACUAGAGGUACGAAAAACAAAGAGAAGAUAUGUACAAUCGAGAUAUCCAGCAACAAGAAGAAGGAAAAAAAAUUCAACAAUGAAACUCUCAAGCAUUUAACAAUGAUGUGUUGAUAUCAACGAUGAUUCAUUUCAUCAUUUUGUCAAUAGUGAUAAUUGAAAUUUGUUUGUCUCCUAACCAAAUAAAAAUAUUUGAAUGGUUUAAUAUUUUAAUUGAUAAAAAUUAUUAUGUGACGUUAUCAAUGGUUAUAUGCUAUUCAAUACAAUUUAAUUGUGUUAAAGACGUUUAGUUGUUGAUUGAAUAUCAGAAGCUAGCAGUUAAUUGUUUAAAGACUAUAUUAAGGUAUGUUAGUUUUUACUUCAAACAAACAUGUUUGUGGCUGUCGAGUUUUUUUCUCAAAAAAAUUGCCUACAUAAGCAAAUGCCAAACUUUAAACAUUUUGUUUGAUUUUAAAUAUUGUAUAUUGAAUUUUACUUAAAAGUAAAUAAACUUAUAAAUUUUUAUUCACUAUAAAUGUCAAUAUCAUUUAUGUGUGCGUUUAUUUUAGUAGAAUGACGAUGAUAUCAUAAUAGGGAUUAUGAGAAGAAUAAAAUUAAAUAUAAUAUAAGAAUUAAUAAAGCUGAAGAAUAAUUUUAAAAUUAUUUAUAAUGACACUAAUAAUAAUUACACAUCAAUUAUAAAUAAAUUAUUAAUCACGUCAUGUCACUAAUCUCGUAUUUUAAAAUAACAUGACACAAUUAAAAAUUAAGGUGAUAAUUUUUUUUCUAUUUUUUUUUUACUCUGAUAGUACUAAAAGACUCACAAAUAAUAUAUCAUUAGUAAAUGCAUACUGAAAAAUCAUCUUCUCAAUUAAUUGUUUUUUCUUCUGUUGUACUUUAUGAUAUAUUUUAAUAAGAGUUUGUUUGGAUUACUGCUAAAAACUGCUUAUUUCUAUAAACAUUUUUUUAAAAAUGUUUUUGAAAAAAAGUAAUUUGUGUUUGACUAAUUCAUUUGAAAAGUGUCUUUGAUAAGCAAAUAGUGUUUGACUAGUCUUUUAAAAAAAAUGUAUUUGAGAGUCAAAUUACGAAAAAUGGUAAAUAUCAGUGUACUUUUAAAAUUAAGAUUAUUUUAUAGAGAGGAACUAUUUUAAACAUCUAUUAGGAUUUUUUUAAUUAAAAUAUGCAUAUUCGAAUUUUCAAUCAAUAUUAUACAUAAAUAAAUAAAAAUAUUAAUAUAAUACUAACACGAUGACUUAAAUAUAAUUCAAAAUAUCAAGAAAAAUAAAUUUAAAAACUAUUCAACAAAUUAAACCACUAUAUACAAAAAAUUCACCACAAAAAUAAAUAAAGCCCUUCAUAUUUUUAAUCCUACAAAAUGUUGUUGUUACAUUUAUUUAUGAUUCAGUAAAAUAAUAUAUAAAAUUUAAAAUAAUAAUAGUAUAUAAACAUUAAAUAAAAAAAUUAUUAUAUAAAAAUAAAAAAUAAAAUUCUUGUAUGAAACUUAAUCAAAUUUAUGAUAUAUGUUAAUUAAUUAAUAAAAGAUAUAUUGGUAAAUAUGUAUAUAUGGGAGGGAUAUUUCUUCAAGAAAACUAAUUUUUUGCUUAUGCUUUUUUUAUGAAGCAGAAAUUUUUAAGUUCUUCCAACAUCAGAAAAACUGCUUAUGCUUCCAUUUAAAAGCAGUUUUCAGAAUUUACCAAACACUGUUUUUUUUUUAAAAAAGGUACUUUUAUCGCAAAAAAAAACAUUUUUGAUCUUUCAACAACAAUGUCAAACAGGCUCUAAAUCUACCAAGUCCCCUUUUUAAUGCAUUUACCCAUUAUGCAUUUAAAAUUAUGGAUCACAUAUGUUGAUUUAGGACACGAAUAAGUUAUAAUUGUAAGUGUUCUUUCAAUUUAGUUUUGAUGUGUAUCAUUUGCAUCUUUUAUUAGUUGUAAUAUUUUUUGAUCUCAUACAAUUGAAUAUAUUUAUAUCAAACAUUUUCUAUAUUAACAUUUCACUAUAGUAAUGAAGUUUUUUUUUUUUUAACUCGAUUUUCUCUCUCUCUAUACAUGUAUUAUCCUUAUAUAAUAAUAUCUUAAUUACAAUCUUUGUAUUAUCACAUUUCUAUAUCAAAUUUACUCAAUUAUUGGUCAAUUUUGCUUUUCAAUAGAAUGACAUGAGUUUUGAUUGAUUAACAAUUUUUUUGACUUUUGUUUAUAAUUAUAUUAUUUGUAUUUAUGAUUAUAGCACUAGCUAUGAUAAAACUGGUUAUUAAUUUAUUGAUAAUGUAUUAGCUUUUAAAACAACAAUUAUUAGUAAAAGAUGAUUGUCUUUAGAUUUCUUUUAUAACAGUACUUUUUGAAGUAAACACAUAAUUUCUAUCUUAAUUUCGUCUAAGACGAUUAAUAAGAUUUAAACACCAAAUUACAUUAUAGGUGUAUAAUAGUUAUUCCCUAUAGUAGCAAAAAUAAUUUUCUUGAUGUAUAAUCCUAUUAUGAAAUAGUCACUAAAUAAUAUUAUAUAAACAUAUAUUAAUAUACAUAUUUGCAUAUCUAUUAGACUAUUACACUCAUUUUUUAGACAUGUUGCACUCUAGUAAUCCAACAUUAACUUUCAUUUAACGUCAUUUAUUUUAUUAUUGCUCUAUAGAACAUACUUUUAUUUUGAUACUAAUUUUCCUCCAUUUCAACCAUUCUAUAUAUUUUAAUUGUAUAUUAUUUAACAUGGUCAUAUACCAAUCUGUUAUCCUAAUUCCUAAAGCAUCAAACUUGCAUAUUAUAAAAUUAUUUACAUUUUUUAAUGAUGCAGAUUCAUAUAAUUUUGCCAGUACAAUUUUAUUCUUCUUUUACUAACUAAAUGUAUAUUUUACAUAUUGUGUCUUAUCUCAAUUUAUUCUAAAUAAUUUUUUUUUACUUUUUUUUAGUAUCUUUUCAUAAUUCAAACUUUUAAUUGACACUCUUACUUCUUUUAUCAAAUAAUACAAUUUUGUUAGUAUAUAUCACACGUCAUCAAAUUUUAUUUAUAAUAGUAUUAGUUAGCUUAUUCACAAUUAGAGCAAAUAAAUAUCAAUUUCAUAUUCAUCUUUGAUGUUUACCGACAUGUCUUAUAUGUACUUAUUCUAUUUUUUAGUAUUUCUUCACAAUUCAAACUUUUAUUUGACACUUUUACUUGUUUUGUCUUAUAAUACAAAUUUGUUAGUAAAUGUCACAUGUCAUCAAAUUUUAUCUAUAAUAGUAUUAGUUAGCUUUUUCAUAAUUAGAGCAAAACAAAUAUGGAUUUGAUAUUCAUCUUUGAUGUUUACUAACAUGUCUUAUAUCUACUUAUUUUAAUUUCCUUUUUAGCACUUCUUCACAAUUUAGACUUUUAAUUGACACUCUUACAUAUUUUGUCAAUUAAUACAAAUUUGUUAGUAAAUAUCAUAUGUUAUCAAAUUUUGUCUACAAUAAUACUAGUUAGCUUAUUCAUAAUUAGAGCAACAAAUAUCAAUAUGAUAUUCAUCUUUGGUGUUUAUUGAUAGUUACACUUUUUUUUUAAUAUCAUGCAAUUGUUUCUAUAUAAAAUGAAAAGUUGUCAGCCACUAAAUGUAAUACAUAUUUAUUUAUUCACUUGUUUAUAUAUAUUUUUAAUUAAACGUUUUAAAUUAUAUUUAUUACUUCAUAUUUCAUCUCACAUAAAAUGAUAUACUAUUUUUUUUGUAAAUCACACUGAAUUUUUUUGUGAAGAUUAUAUCUUAUAUACUUUAAUCAAACGACCCUAUUUGUUAUAUAAAUUUAUAAUCCUUAAAAAUUAAAAUAGUCUUAAAUUUUUUUUAAGACUUCACUUCUUGACUAUUAUUAUGAUAAAUUGGAUGUAACGUGAUCAAGAUGUUAAGUUUGAAAGUUUUGUACCUGUGGACACGUUUGUCAUUCAUUAUCUUAGCUAGCCUUUGAUCCUAAAUUUUGAAUUAAAUAUUUAAAUUUAUCUUUAAAUAUAUAUUUGACCAUGAAAUUUGAUCAGAUUUUUAAAAUUAAUUUAAAAAAUUAGUAAAAACUGAUUCAAGGGAAAUUUAUUUACUCACAAAAGAUAAAAUGUUUUCAAGGUAAAAUAUACCAUUGAAAUUUUAAGAAUCACUUCAAGAAUUCCAAUUUUUAAUUUUCAAGUUUUACUUUUAAGUUCUAUGACCAAAUAAUUUUUUUGUUUUAUUAAUAAGAAAAAUAGAAAUAAAUGGAGUAAUUGUUAAGGUAACUGAUAUGAGAAUAAAAGUACUUGCAAUAAACUUUGUUCUAAAAAAUUCCAAAUCUUCCCAAAAUCCUCUCCAAUGGCGGGUCUCUACGCCUCUCUCAGACCCCAACCGCCAUCUUCUUCUUCCUCUUCACAGCAAUCUUUCUUCUCGAAGGUUCUUCUCCUUCUAACAAUCCUUCCUCUAUCUUUGGCUGUUUUUGCUUUUUUUCUUCAAUGGCGUGGUGGUGGAGUUGACGAUCCAAUCUCUCGAUGGUCUCCUGAAGAGUCUCACAAGUUUCCUGGCAUGGACAGUUCUCCUUUAGCCACUGUUGCUCACUCUUCUCAGUCAUCAGACUGUUCUCUUCUUGCCCAUACCAAUACGCCGUCGUUCCCUUACUAUAAAGACUGGAAAUUUAAACUUCAUCCAGAUCUCAAACCCAAGGUUCGAUUUUUUCUUUUCGUUGUUUAUGGUUUAAUUUGUUUGUGGGGUUUUUGAAUUUUGAUCGAUCUCAAAUGGGUUUUGCUGGAAUUCAUUAUUUAGCUAAUUGGGAGUGUCUCGCAGAUUUUUCUUUCAUUUUGCAGUUUCUAGUACCUUCUAGCAAAUGAGUAGCUCUACUGCAUAACUGGGCUCUUCAAUUUGUUUAUUUUUAUAAAUUAAGUAUUUUAUGAAGUAAAUGGAACAUUAUUCACAUAAGAUUUGUUAAUUGUAGAUUCAAGGAGUGCAUAGUUUGUAUUUACAAGAAGCAUUUAAAGGACCUAUAGGAUAUACAUUGUUAAUCCGAAAUUUCAUGUAGAUCAGUUGCAGGUUGAUCAUCCCUGUUUCUCUACAGUUCUUUUUUUUCUCUUCUUUCUGGGCAAACACAACAAAAUAAAUCCAGUAUUCGGAUGCUUGGUCAUGAUGGGAUGCUUACAAUUGUCCCAGUGUUUGCGAGGAGUCUUUUGAGUAUGAUUAGAGAUUAGUAUGCUAGUAAAAACUGUUGCAAGGAGACUUUCAUUAUUGAACAUUGGAAUGAAAGGGUGCUCUCCUUGCUCACCCUUAGAGCUCAUUAAGAUUUUAGUUACUGUAGCAAAGAGUGGAUUCAGGAUGGUAGCAGCCAAGCUUUGGAGGAAAGAAGACAGAAAGCCUUCCAAGUGGUCCAAAUGCAAGGAAUCUGGCUCCCUUCUUCCAACAAAACAUAACAAGAGGAUGCCAACCGAGGGUGCUCUGUCUCAAUUUGUUUAAUCCUCUACUAGCUUCUGCAUUUUAGUCGAUAUUGUAAAUGGACGCAAACGAUGGAAAAAAAUGUUAUUUGAUCUUCUAUCUCGUUUUUUUUAACAGUGUGUUUUACCUGUACCUAGAAGAACAAACCAUUUCUGAUGUUCUUCAUCUUCUGUGCUUGUGAUUUACUUGUUGAUAUGUAAAUUCUUGUGAAAAGUCACCCAAGAAAUUUAAUAAUGUGUCGAGAAUUGAGAUGAAAAAAAGAAAGAAUGAAAGGGUGCCAAGUAGAGCUAAAUGGAUGGUGAGGAUUCAUACGCCGACCCCAACUAGCUUGAGAUUGAAUGGUUGAUGUUGUAAAUACGAAAAAAUAAGUAUCAGGGAAAUGGUUCCUACAUUUUUUCUCUUUUUGAACUCCUUCAACCAAAGGAAAUCUCCUGAGAUUUUAUUGUGCAGCUUUUCCUGGUUAAGGGUUGAUAACAUGCCCCUCUAUCCUCAUUUCUGCCCUAACAGAACUAGGAUUAUUUGAUACUAAAACAAGUUUGUUCAGCUUUGUUUACACGAUAAUUUAACUGUCUUGUUUCUCUAUAUGCAGAUAUGUAUUACAACCAGUACAUCUGGUGGCCUAGAGCAGAUUUUACCGUGGAUGUUCUAUCAUAAAGUAAUUGGGGUUACAUCAUUUUUGCUUUUUGUGGAAGGAAAGGCUGCAUCUCCUGAUGUUUCUAAAGUCCUUGAAUCCAUUCCCGUAAGUCCCCCAACCUGUAUUUACCUUCUCAAUGAUUCUUAGGAUUCAUCAACACGAUCUUUAAAUUGUGUGGGGCGCGAUUGCGAUUAAGCACCUGCCUCUCUGUACCUUACCUUCAAUUAGCUCUAUCUAGAUGUUUUCAAGAAUAGCAAUUCAUUUGGGUGCUCUUAUGAAAAUUGAAAAAGCAUUACUUCUCAUGCAAUUUUCAUGACCUUUCUUUUUUAAGUUAGAGCUGAACUGUAAUGGUCCAAAUCCAGGUUAUCCACUUGUUAAGGCUCAAGUGGCACUUUUCUAUUCUCAACCAUGGGUUUUGUUUGAUCUGCAGGGAGUAAAAGUAAUAUACAGAACUAGAAAGCUAGAGGAGCAACAAGCCAAAAGGUCUGUUCACUGACAUUUUAUGAUUGUUGUAUGGACUGGCUAUAAUUUCUUGUACUUCGUUUAUUCAGGUUCAAGCCAAAUUUGUGAGACACAGUUAAACUUUGUAAAUUAUUUCUUUCCUAUUGGCUAUAAUUGUGUGAGAAACAGUUAGAGUUAAUUAGACUUGCAAUAUAUUGACCAUGGGAUAUUUCUAAAAAUAUAAGAAUUUGUUGACUGGUUUUAGUGAGCUGAAAUUAUAGGAAUAAUUAAUAAGGGCUACAAAAUAUCAAAAGAUAUGUUUUGGUGCUUGACUUUGUUUCUUCUUUUGUGCAUAUUUUCAUUGUUUCUAUAACUGUUGUAAUUAUUUCGCGUUGAGUUGAGAAAAUUGGCUAAACGUUUUUUCUCCUUUUAGCAUUAGCAUGCCAUUUUCUUUACAUAUGUUUCACUGACAUGCAUUUUCUAAUUUUGAUCUGGCUUGAUGGGAAUGAAAUGUGGCCGUCAAAUUUUGUUAAUGCUUGUACUCAAUGGCAUGCAUUUUCUAAUUUUGAUCUGGUUUGAUGGGAAUGACACGUGACCUUCAAGCUCCGUUAGUGCUUGUAUUUUUCACAUUUGCACAUCUGAGAUGUCUACAAUUGUUUCACUGAGUCCUUUUUUCUCAUUUUGUUCUAGCCGGAUUUGGAAUGAAACGUGGCUGUCUAGUUUCUUUUAUAAACCUUGCAAUUACGAGCUCUUUGUGAAGCAAUCUCUUAAUAUGGAGAUGGCCAUAGUGAUGGCAAGGGUAUGAACUCUUCUACUUUUGCAUCGUCUGUCAUUCUAAAUCAUAGUUGAUGAUCCAUGUACAUGUUGAAAUGUCAGGACGCUGGUAUGGAUUGGAUAAUUCAUCUGGACACAGAUGAGUUAAUACACCCGGCCGGUGCUCGAGAGUAUUCUUUGAGGCAGUUGCUGCUUGACGUGCCUUCAAAUGUUGACAUGGUUAUCUUUCCUAACUAUGUAAGUUAAUUGGAAAAUGUUCCAGGAAACAGCUAUUUAUGGAUAGUACAUAUCUGAUUAAUUCUCAGAACAUGUUGUUUACCGUUGGAAUUGUCAUCAAGUAUUUUAAUGAUUUUUUUUUUUGUAAAUUCAGGAGAGCAGUGUCGAACGAGAUGACAUCAAGGAUCCCUUUACAGAGGUAAGCUGGAACUUGCAAUUCAUUAUUUAUUACUGAACUGCUGGACAGUAUCGUUGAUGGGAAAACUACUUUGAUCAUUGUGAUAUGAUAAGAUGCAUUAAUAUGCUUCUGGUGAUUCAGCUAUUCAAGUGCAGUAAGCAAUUGAGUGAUGUUUGUUUAAUUCUGUAACUGUUGUAUCUUCCUAUAUGUUAAUUGUCCGUCAUCUGUUUGACUACAGCAAGUAUCAUUGAUGUAAAUAAGGAGAACUCUUGUUCUGUUAUGUUAUUACCCCCAUGAUCAGAAUCUCUUGAAGUGUUUUUGUCAUAUUCUGCUGCUUAUUAAAGCUAUGUAAAUAAAGCUUGGCGUAUGAUCUGAGACUUUUUUUUUUCUUUUGUUGUUUUUUCCUAUGUGCCCAUCAUAAUAGGUGUCAAUGUUCAAGAAGAAUUAUGACCAUCUAAUGAAGGAUACAUAUUUUGGCAUGUAUAAAGAAGCAACCCGUGGCAAUCCAAAUUACUUUUUGACGUAUGGCAAUGGUAAAGCAGCUGCUCGAGUUCAGGACCAUCUUCGUCCCAAUGGGGCUCAUCGAUGGCAUAAUUACAUGAAAACUCCAAAGUAUGUUUGCCCUCUAUAGUCUCUCCCUUAGUAACCUGUCUAUUAUGCUCUUGGCCCUAAGCUCAUGCAAACUUAUUGGACGUUAGUGGGAUACUUUUCAAUUGUUCCAUAUUCUCGUGCUCUCCAGAAUGCUAUGAAUGUUACAACCUUUUUCCUUUGUAGCACUGGUAUCUAGAAGAAGCCCAUCAUACUAAAUUUUAUUCAACAUAUGUCAGGGAGAUUAAAUUGGAGGAGGCUGCUGUUCUGCAUUACACAUAUUCCAAGUUUUCUGACUUGACUUCAAGGCGAGAUAGAUGUGGUUGCAAGCCCACAAAGGAGGAUGUUAAGAGAUGCUUCAUGUUGGAAUUCGAUAGAUCUGUGAGUUUAUGCUCCUUUUCUGUUCUUCAUUUAUAGAUGGAAAUAAGACAAUGCCUUUCCUUUUGCUUUGUGUAUACAAGUGUACUACUGGAUAAUGUAGUUCCAUAAUUUUUACCGGUUCAUGAUGGUUGCUGGAGAGGACUUGUUUUAUAUCUAAUCCGUAUUUGGAUCUUCCAAUUAUCUUAUUCGAGUUGGUAGUUAUGCUACUGGGUUUCAGGAAAGAUGUGUGGGUGAGUGGAACAGGAGGGAUGGGGAAGCUGCCAACUUGAGUUUAUUAGAUUAAUAAUGCUAAAUGUCUUCAGCAUUUGGAUGACUACUUUAAGGUCCAAUGAGACUGUUUCAACUAGAUUAGAAUAUUAGACUUCUGGUGUUUACUCUGUUUUGGUUCCUUGUGGGUAAGGGGAGAGGCUCAUUAAUUUACUUUGUUAAAUGUAGUAAUCAUCAUUUGCUUCCCUUUGUUUGGUACAACUAGUAGGUGAGUAACAAAGGGGGCAGGUGAAUAAACCUACACGGGGAUAGGACUCAAUCCCUUAAUCCCCUUUUACUUCGCCUCCUAUUUUACUUGCGAAACAAAUAAAUAACCCAUGACACUUCUCGUCCCUAGGUCUUAGGUCUUUGUUCUAAGAGUGAAGCGCAUUAUGUGUGGAUUAAACACACGUCAUGGGUUUGAACCUUGUUGCAGUCAAAAACCUAGUGUUUAAGUGGAGAGGGGUAGAGACCAGACUUACAUCAACCGGAUGAGACUAAGUGGAUGUUCGAACCGACUGGUGCCUCAUUCGCCCUAAGGGAAUUCUCGGUUAUCAAAAAAUGACCCAUGACACCUCACUCUACUUCAUGUCCCCAUCCUCUUCCAUUUCCAACUAUAUCAUAGCAUUAGACAGAUUCUGAAAGGACAAAUUGUUGUUGGAGGAACUUUUCUGUUUGUUUGUUGGGUACUCAUUGUGAGAUUUGCUAUUCUUAAAGGCAAAAAGUGUAAAUAGUGUACCUCCACAUACCAUUUUAUUCUCUUGAAAGAUUGAUUGCCUGUUUGGCCAAACUUCUAAAAUCAACUUAUUUUGAGAAAAGAGUAACCUACUUCUAAAAUCAACUUAUUUUGAGUAGUGCUUUUCAAAAAAGUACUUUUGGUGAGAAACCGUUUGUGUUUGGCCAAGCUUUUUAGAAUUGCUUCUAAGUGUAUUUUUUUCAAAAGUGCUUAUGGGGAAAAUCACAUUUUUAAGCUUCUGAAAACAGCUUAUGCUACUUUGCAUAAGCACUUAUUUUCUCCUAAAAGCUUGGCAAAACACCUCAGUUUUUAAAAUAAACAUUUUUUGAAAUAAAAUAAGCACUUUUGGCCUCCCAAAGCUUGGCCAAACAGGCUAUGGAUCUAGAUAGUAGAAUUGUCUAUAUUUGUGUCAUCACAAUCUCGUCUAGUUUCACCUUAACUUUAUCCUUCUUAAAUUGACUAAUUUUGCAGUGGCAAUAUUAGGCACACCUCAUCUAUGCCUUAAGCAAGUUUGCUAUAGAAGUUAUGUGGGUGUGUUGACCAAGUCUUAGUGAUGCUGUUGCUGCGAUGCUGAUUGUAGUCAUAUAUAGUUGUAGCAGCUCGUUAGGAAUAUAUGUGGCAUUUAUAGUGGUAGAUAAAUGACAGAAAAACAUUCCUAAUAGCGUGCUUCCAGUGUUUUUGUUUUGUUCCAACAGUGUGAUUCUUUUACUCUACCUGUAGUUUAAUUUAUUUAGGAUGAGAAGUUUUUCCUUUUUUAAACUUGUGGUACUCUGCUGUGGACUGUUUUCUUGAGCUGUGAGCGGCUAUCGGAAACAACCUCUCUACACUUUUCAGAACUACACUGGUUAUGUUGUUGUAAACUUUUGGUACUCUGGUUGUCGAAGAAUCAAUCUCAGGCAACAUCUAUAUAUAUUGGUUUUGUGCAAAUAAUUCUCUGUAACCCCUUCUAAAAUAAAUUUUUGUAUAAAUUGUUCUAAUGAAGUGCAGUUUUUCUGGUGCUUCUACGGGGGGCGGGGGGGGGGGGGGGGGUUUAAUUUUUUUUCAUUUUUUUUUUUNNNNNNNNNNNNNNNNNNNNNNNNNNNNNNNNNNNNNNNNNNNNNNNNNNNNNNNNNNNNNNNNNNNNNNNNNNNNNNNNNNNNNNNNNNNNNNNNNNNNNNNNNNNNNNNNNNNNNNNNNNNNNNNNNNNNNNNNNNNNNNNNNNNNNNNNNNNNNNNNNNNNNNNNNNNNNNNNNNNNNNNNNNNNNNNNNNNNNNNNNNNNNNNNNNNNNNNNNNNNNNGGGUGGUGGGGGGGGGGGGGGGGGGGGGGGGGGGGGGUAAUUACUAUCUGUUGACAGUUUAUUGAUCUAGUGUGAACUAUUGUGUUUUAUUUUUUCUUGAGUUUGAUAGUUUAUGAGCUAAUAUGCUCAAAGUGAUAAUAUGUUUUAUCUUCUCCAGGCAUUUAUUAUUGCUUCAACUGCUACAGAGGAUGAGAUGUUAAACUGGUAAUUUCUAAUCUAAAUAGCAGCUAAAUCCAAUUUAGUUUCGCUCAGCUCCCUUUUUGUACUACUGAGUUGGCUUAUUGGACUCUAAUUAUGUGCUCGAGUUAUUCAUCAAUCUAGUUACUCUGCUGUUCUGAAGAUAUUCCUUUUCCUUGGUCAGGUACCGUGAACAUGUGGUAUGGACUGACAAAGCGAUGAACCUGAAACUUUUGAGGAAAGGCAUUUUAACUCGUAUAUAUGCUCCCAUGGUAAGCCUGGACAAACUGACUUAGGAAAUCUUUUUUCUUUGGGCCCAAAAGUGCAUUUUUCUGAAUAGUAAAAAAGAAGAGGUUGUUAAGCUAGGGAAAAAGUUUAAGAACUGUCACCCUAGAACAAAAACCUCUUCUUGUCAUAUUACAAGUCCUUAGAACACAAGAGUAGUGUAGCCUUUGAAGUGAGUACAUAUGUUUGAUAGUUGGGAGAGGAUGCGGAUCACCUGCCUGAUAUUUCAUGCAUAUUGUCAAGUAGCCACAAAUUGGAAAAUACCGAAGACCAGUAUGAGAAUGCUGUGGAUGUAUCUUUUUUGGAUCACAUGGAAUGCAAGAAAUAGGAGAUUGCUUAGGAAGGGUGAAAGAUGAUGUCAGAAGUAUUAAAAUAUUUUCUCUAUUCCAUCAUAUUUGUAGAGAGAAACUGUCUCGUAGAAAAAUUAGGGAAGUGCUCCCAGGGAUUUUAUUUAGGCAUAUGUCACAGUUCAAACCUUGUCUUUGGCACAAAAUGUGGUAUUUAAGUGGGACUACUAGGCGGGCCCAUGCUCCAUCAAGUUCUGAACCUGUAAGGACAAUUAGGAUUGGACCAACUUGCAUGGGAUUUCUAGGUUAUAAAAAAUUAGGAAUGAAGUAGAAAGUCAGCGUGCAACAAUGAAAAAUGAAAAGGUUUAUGGCCAUGGCAAGUCACAUGCAGCCAUGAAAUGGCAACUUUGGAGUACCUGAAUAUGGAGUUAGUGUUAGGGAAACGUAGAUCCUUCCAUCAUCUUCUCCAGCAAUCUGUUUGUCUGUAUUCCAGUAAACAAUGCCUGCACUUUGUUCUCUUGAGAGGAUCCUGAUCUGUGUUUCCCUAAAACGUCAGAAACAUCUUUACAACACAGUCCAAUGAUAGGUUUGUUUAUUCAUUCUUUUCUAUUUUGUAUGUGCAGGUUAUUGUCCAAGGUUUGAGGGAGAGUGGUGUUUUCAGUUCUAUUGUUUUGUCUGCUCAAGAAUCUCUAUCAAAGGACAAAUUCUUAGCAUCCUUUGAAAGUAACAGUUCAUCAAAGGCUGCUGCCUCGGAGUCACUUCCUUCAAGAAAGAUUGGUAGAAAUCAACAUUCUCAAGCUGCCAGGAGAGUUUUAGCGGAAAGUGGUUCCCUCUUUGAAUUUCAUGACGAAGCUGUUCCCCCACGGUCUCCCCCACGGCAUAGAUGCAGAUGUCAUAACUGAAGCGUAAUUGUUCUCCUUUCAUGGCUUCUGCUGCUUUCUUCUGUCAACUUGACGGAGUGGAUGAAUGACGAACAUCCGAUGUCUUCAUUUGUAUCAGUGUGUAAUAUAGCUAAAGAUGUAAGCUAGCAGAUUCAUGGGCAGGGGUUCUUUCUUGCUUCGGUUUUAUGGUUAUUCCCGAUCAUUACCCAAGCGGAGGUGUAGAUUUAUGUUGGUGGAAGUACAGAGAAAAAACAUACAGAUGUUGGAGUUGGGGUGGGGUGGAGAAUUGGAAGGACAUUCUUUUUUCCAGAGCUCCAUCUAUAUGAUAUGGAGAUGAGGGGUUAUUCUUAAUGUGUAUAGUAAUUCGACCUCUAACAUGUUUGAUUAUUUUCGAGGUUCUUAUCUUCUGAAUCACAUGCUGUUCACUGAGAUCAUUUCUUAAAUUGAAUGCUGAGUUUCGGAUCAUUGUAAAGCCUUAAGAAAGAGAUUAAUAGAAAUGAGUAAAUUUCUAAGGCAACAGUUGAGAAAAGAAAAUUAUGCAUCGGAAACAGCAUGUCUACCCUUCAAAGUAGGUAGAUGUAAGGUCAGCAUGUAUUCUAUCUUCCUCAGACCUCAUUUUUGGGAUUAAGAAAGGUGUAUUCAAAGAAAACAAGUAUAUCAUUCGUUUCAAGUCCCCCCNNNNNNNNNNNNNNNNNNNNNNNNNNNNNNNNNNNNNNNNNNNNNNNNNNNNNNNNNNNNNNNNNNNNNNNNNNNNNNNNNNNNNNNNNNNNNNNNNNNNNNNNNNNNNNNNNNNNNNNNNNNNNNNNNNNNNNNNNNNNNNNNNNNNNNNNNNNNNNNNNNNNNNNNNNNNNNNNNNNNNNNNNNNNNNNNNNNNNNNNNNNNNNNNNNNNNNNNNNNNNNUUCUUUCCACCUCCCCCCCCCCCCCUAAGUUUCCGCAUUACAUAUUUAAGAGUUUAAGAUCAGAAAUUUUAAAAAAUAUCUCAAUAUAUUUAUUUAAAUUAAAAAUUACAAUAUUAAUAUAUUUUUACACUCUCUAAAACCACAAGUGAAGUGAGUAAUGUAUCAUUUGCGCCAAUGUCUUUUUAGAGGGGUAAAAGAAAUAAAGAAACGAUAACGAACUGAAAUUUCAACCAACCAGUGGUGGCGAGUAUGAUACUUUCCAACUCGCUCUCCUCUUCUACUUUCCUCCGAUUCAAUAACCAACUGCAACAGCAGCAGCAGCAGCAGCUGUUUGUGGAUUCUUCUUCACGUAUUCUUCAAUUGCAGAGCCGGAAAUUGAAGAAGAAGAGCAGAGGCUUAUCAGUGGUGACUCGCGCAGGUGGAAUAAGUUCGGGCAGUUAUAUAUUUGCUUUGAUAUUUCCACUUUCUCUCCUUGCUAUCACCAUCUUCACUUCUGCCCGUGUUGCUGAUAACCUCGACCAGAAAUUUCUCGAAGAGGUAAAUUACAUAAUCCCAUUUGCCCCAAAGCAAUUUUGUCCUUUCCUUUUUCCGGGAUAGCUUGCGACCUCAAAAAUGUUUUUUGGCAAUCGCUUUACCACUAGACUAAACCUUCAACUUGUGUAGUUAAGAGGUGUCCAUACUUGUAUAAAUAUUUAUUAAACCAAAAUUCUACCUCGUAAUUUUUGGGUGACGGGGGUGUUGUUUGACAUCCGGAAAAGGGUGGCUCCGCCCCUGCACCUAGUGUUUUGAACGAGGGUGCUCGACCCACAUAUUUGACCACUAGGCUGCACCCUUGGGUGACUCAAGUAAUUUUUUCCAUUAGGCUCAUUCUCUCUUGUUUCCUUGAUUUUUUAUUCGACACGAGAUGUAGUAAAACUUUAUGAAAUGUUCCUAUUAAUGAAUAUAGUCUUUGGAAGUGAAGUAAAGGAAAAUUGUGGCUGGAAGGAUCUAACAUCAACAUUUUAUAGGUUUUGGAUGAUUUCUUGGGUGGAGGGAGGGGAUUGAUGAAAUUUGAGUGUCUAGGUGAAAAUUUCUCUCUUGGACUUUGCUUAUCGUUCUCUGUUCUAUGAUAAGAAAUUUUUAGUGUUGAUUUGUUCUGUUAGAUUUGUAUUAGUUGCCAAUGCUUAAGACAUUCAUCAAGUUAAAGUUUCAUCGGAGAGGUUGGAGGUUUUAUGGUUGUAGGAAAAGUAUACUUUAUUUUCUUUUGCUGGCGACUGGUGAGAUAAGUUUGGUCUGUAAAGUGGGGAAGAGGGGUGGGGGUAAUGGAGGGUAAGUGGAUAGAAGUGAGAGCUAGAACAAGGGAGGGAACUUAUGAAUAUAUCGCCAGAAAAAGAUGCUAACAGUCUAGGCUAUAUCAACUCCGCUAAAGCUAGGCAGGCUUAUUAUUGGCAUAACAAUGCAAAUGCUACUGGAAAAGCUUAGAUGGGUUUUGUUUUAGAGUUAAAAAAUUCAGUUCUUGCAAAAUGUAAGCCAAACACCACUUUCAGACAGGCAGUUCUUGGUUGACACUUGACAGUAUGAUGACAUGGGCUCUUGGUUGACACUUGACAUAUGCUGAUAUGGGCUAUCUUCUGUUUUGUGAUUUUUUCGUUGUCUAACUGUUUGUUUUCUAGAGUGGAUCAUGCUACUUGAUUUAUAUGGACAUAGCAUUAUGGAUUUUCCCCUGAAUUGGAACUGUAGCCUUUUAGCAUAGUUCUAUGAGGCAUGAAGUACCAAGGCAUCAGUAAUUCCCUUGGCAAGGAAAACCGAUAGGUGUAAGAUGUUCCUAGAUGAUUAGAAAUGUCAUUAUAUCAAGUGAUCAUGCUAAGCAAAUGAAUAUUGAGCGGAGUGAGCAUAACUUGAUGUUGUCUUUAACUUUUUGUAGAAUGUCUGCUAGGAGGAAACUGAUAACAGUUUGGCUCUGCUAAGUCAAUUUAGGUUGGACAUGUAUAUUUGCUGCAUGAGAAAACUAGUACUACAUAUGUCAAAGCUUUGUGCAAUUUGCACCUAUAACAUUUGAAUUUUCAAACCCUUCAUGGAGUAGUCAGUAUGAGUAAAACUAAUAGGAAUGAUCAUUAUUAGGGAAUACUUAAAUGCCAUACUAGGAUAAGCUAGGCUUUCAACAACAUAAUCUACUUUCCAGAUGCUUCGCCAUAGAAUUGAUCGAUCCAGGUCCCAUUCUUUUAUGCUGCACUCACUUCAUAUUUCUGACACACAAGGAGUACUAAGGGGGCUAACGUCUAUGAGUUGUUAUGGGGAGUGUUCAUGAGUUGACUUAUAACUUGUUUCUCUUUGAAAGAAUUAAUGCAUUUAUGCUUGUAUCUCCCUAGACACGACAUCAACCACUGCAUUGAAGGUCCCCAGUGCAUACUCUGAUUUAAUGGUAAAUAAGAGUUAUAGACAUAUAAUGUUUAGACCUAUCAUACACUUCUUAAUCUCUUAUGAAGUAAAAAGACGGCAAAGAUUUAUGUUGUAUACAUGACACAUGUUGGACACCUAGAAAUUGGUGGUUUCUUACAAUUAAAAGAUGCAUAUCUUUGGCAUAUAUGAACAAUGUGAUUUAAAUGGGACAUCAGAGUUAAACGAUUUUAUAGAUCCAGUUGAGUAUAUAAUUGGAGGUGGAAGAAAAGAAGAAACAUAUCAAUCAUUAAGAAAUUGAAAUGGCGUCAUGUCCUUUAAUUGGAGUUGAAUUCAUGCAAGAAACACACACACACAGAGACCUGCAGCAUGCUCACGAACAUGUAUGCACCCUGCACCCAUUAUAAGCUACAAAAAAAAGAAAUACUGAUAAAAUGUUCCCUCGUAAACUUCGAUCACAUCAUUUGCUGAAAACUUUGCUUUUCAGUUAUUUGUGCCCUACCUUGGUCAUUGACUCAUUGUUACUUAUCACUUGUAGUAAUUGGUAUUUUUGAGCAGUACAUUUCAAAUUCAUCCCAUUGCCACCCCCUCCCUUUUCUUUAGGGUUGCUUAUCACACUUAUGGAUUCUUCUUCUGGCCUUUUAACUUUUAUAUGCCUAACAAUUGAAGAGAAAGAAAUGAGAUUAUUUUGAAGUAAUUCAUACUUACAGACUUCCUGAGGAAAUCGUUGCGUGCACAUUAUAAAAUUUUGAUUUGAGUCUAAUUCUACUUCUCUUGUUGAAUUGACAGCUUGCUGUAAAUGAAACAAUAGCAGAAGGUGAGGAAGAUGAUGGCAGUGCAGUCACUCCGUUAGAGGAAAAACCUGCAACUCCUCGUACACGCAAUCGACCCAAACGGGAAGUUGAACCUUCAUCUAAGUAGUCUUUAUUUGUUAAGGUGAAUUGAUAAUUUACAGAGUGGUUUCUUUAGCACUUUGUCCUUUCACUAUUUAUCAUAAUUGGCUAGAAAAAAUGUCUUUAUUCACCAACACUUUUUGUACUUUCUGUGACUAAUUCGAAAUAUAACAAUAUAUGUGUAUGAAGAGCUAUUUAUUUUACUAAGAUAGAGCCAACUUCGACUAUAGAAUCCAUUUUGAGGUUAUCAAUAAGAAACAAAAACUUAUGAUCCACCUAUAAAAUUUUACUUCAUCCGUUCCAUAUUACUUGUCCACUUCCCCCUUUACAUAUAGGUAUUUUUAGUAAUUUAUUCUUCAACUCUUUUUAAGUAAUAUGGACAAGUAAUAUAGAACGGACGGAAUAUUAUAGCAGUAAAGUUGUAGCUAUUUAAUUAAUUAUUGUCACAGUUGUUACCAAUGAUAACAAAAAAGAGGAAUUAGCUUUGUUAAUUUAAUUUUCAUAGCUAAGAAGAUUUAUGAAUUCGUAGAUAGGCAUGGAUUCAAAUUUUUGUAGCUAUUGCUAGGUACUAACCACAAUUUUUAAAUUCAUGCUAAGAUUUCGUUUUAAUUGAUUUUCUUAAUUUCUUUAUUUAGUUUCAAAAAAUUACUACUUCCUUUAUUUUAAUUUAUGUGACCCGAUUCAAAGCGCGAAGGAUAAAAUAAUCAAUUUGCGAUGUGAAUUAAGAAAUAGAAUCUUCAUAUUUUUUUUAAAAAAACUGACAUGUUUAAAAACCACGUAAAAAGUAAAAUAAGUUACCAUAAUUAACAAUGAAAGUAUUUAAAACAUAUUUGAAUAAAAGAAAGCAUUUUUUGACUUUCCAUAUAUAACUAGGAUUUCCCAAUUUAUUUAACAGUUUUGAAAACAAAAUAGAAAUUAAUAUAAAAAGUUAAUAGUUUCCUUAAUGAUAAAAAGAUACUAGGAAACUUUUUUAUUUUCGUGUGGCGGUAGGUUGGAGGAAAUGGGAUUCCGAAUUCUGGUCGGUUUAGGAAAAACAUAUGCCCUAUAAAUGUGAUGCUAAAGUCUCACCAUUACUCACAAAUAUAUUUUAGGGUUACAACUUAGAACAAACAUCAUGGUUAAAAUAGUUUUACGUGUGGAUUUAGAAAAAAUGUUUAUGAAUGAAUUUUCAAUAAAGAAAAAACCAGACGAUAUUUUCAGUUUGAUUGAAUUUGCGAUUACUGUUGCUGAAGUCAAGUAUCCAACGCAGUUGGAUAAGCAUAAACAUAGGAUGUUGAACCGAUUGAUGAAUUCGGGAAGAUAUAAAGAAGAAGAAAAGAGUGGUAUGUUGAAAGAGGAUAUUGAUGAAAAAUUAGGAACAAAGGAGCGUAAGAAUGAGAUGAAAGGCUUGAAGAAGACGGAUUUUGAAUCAAGUAAAAGGAAAUUUGAGGAACGGUCUGCAGAGCAAAAGGAAGCCAAGAGAAGGAUCGUAAUGUUGGAGUAGGAGAAGAUUUUGAGUAUUAAUAAUAGUAGUAUAUCAUUAAUAUUCAUUUGAUGAGUUUUAGUUAGUACCUACUCCCCUUUUCUGUAUUCAAAAUCAUUGAUAUAAUAGUAGAUUUAUAAUUUCACAAAUGUUGUUGGGUCUCAUAUCUGUUAUUCACUACUUGCUCUAGGUUACUAAUUAAAACUAGGAUCUUGUUACUCUUGCUUCUGAUCAAUUUACUGUUUAGAGGUAAUAUUGCUCAAUUUGCAAAGUGUACUACUCUUGGAAAACUACUUGCUGUAUUUUGUUCAAAGAAAGAUCAAACUACUGAGAUGUACUUUUUACACUACUUGAAUAAAAGAUGGAUUCAGAACCUCAAUAUUUCUAUUUUAUUGCUAAAAAAAUAGGUCAAAAUUGUGAAGUAACAGCCAGCAGGGUUUCAACCUUGUUUAUCAGAAUAAGUUCCAAGAUAUCAGAGUAGUUCUCCAUCUAAAUCUUAAGACACCCCAAACCUGAACCAAAACUUUAAGAUAUCGCAAUCUAGCGAGAUUUAAUGUAGUUGGAGGAAGAAAAUCAUUUAACGCGCAAUCCCCAACUUUCUGUUAUCAAUAUGGACAUGUUCUGCAUAAUUACUGAAUUUCACCAAUACCUGCAAAAAGAAAAGAACUUAUUAUAUGUACUCUUUUAAUUAUAACCAAAUGGCAGUUUUUCUAAACUGGUUAUUAGAUAGUGCUACACUGGCAGAAUUCAUAAAUGUCUGCUAGACCGGGACUUCAUGGCAAGGUCAUUUAAGCCAACAGAGUGCCAAAUCAACUUUUCCAUUUUCCUAUGUCAGGAAGCUAAGGAGAUAUGGAAAGCAAAAAGAAAAGUAUAGUAAGAAGCAACGGAUAGGAGUAAUAACCUGCAGCUCUCACGUUUGAGUCAUAAUCAUAACACUUGGUGUUACUCCAUCCGCUCCAGUCUUGGCGAUCAAGAUUACCUUGGUGACUUGUGCUUGUAAGCUGGACAAGCUGCAUGAGGUAGAUGAGUCAAGCUGAUAAAGAUAAGAACCGAUGUUAAAGAAAAAGUACAAGAAUGGAAGACGAGGGAAAUAGGAGAUUAAAUAGUGGACUCCAAAAUUAAAAUGUCAUCCAUCUUCUGCCAAAUCCCUUGAAACAAACAAAGGGAAAUUUAGGUACAUUUCCCUUCUUUCCUCUAGUCUCCAGACAAAGGGUUUGCUUUUCUUUUUGCCAUGUAAAGCCUGAUUCAGUUAGUAACGAAUAACACAAUCAUAAGUUGAAAGAUACCUUCAAACAGCAUCGGAGUAGUCUUUCAACUCUCAAUGAGAAUAUGCACUUGAACUCUUCCAGUGCGAUAGAUUGGUCCCCUUCAACAACUACCGACAAACUGUUCACCAAGCUACCUGCAAAGUUGAAGUAAUAACCUGUGGGAAACAGUGAAAAAUUGAAAGUGGCAUUUGUUUGAUGUUCUCCAAAAAUUAGGUUCGCCAAGUCAGUUUGACUUUUUGGAGGAAGCGUUUAUUUGAUGACCUGUUUUUGCAAAAUAAUUUUGAAAAUUUCCAAACUUAAAUUGUCAAAUCUUUCAAAAACUCAGGAACUGCAAAAACUAGUUUUUGAGUUAAAUGGAAGAUUGAAAAGUAAGUGUGAAAAUCUUUUAGAAAAAAUUAACGCUUUCCUUUUUUAUAAAAAUAUCCAAACCACAACAAUUCUUUUCCAAAAAUUUAAAAAUGAGUCUGCAAACUCAAGUUACGAAAACUUCAAAAGCCACCUAAAUAGAGCAGGCACCUUGCAGCUUCAUAUCACAUACAAGUGCAAAUGAUCAACAUUUUUAUGAUUUAUUACCUAUUUUCAUUUCUUCAACCUGCUAAAAGAGUACACCCCUUUGCUUUUAACUUUGACUCCAGACCGAAAAAUUUCAACCCAGACAACAGCAAGUCUGCUGUCUUCUUCUUCAUGUGGUCAAUAAGCAUCUCAUCAUAAACAACUAAGUCGGCUUCAGUAAGAUGUUUUCGCUUUCUCAUACUUGCAAAAACUUUCUGUGCUUCUUCAAUUGUUCCAUGUUUGCACAUGCCAUAAAUUACAGCGCAAUAUACAGCAUUAUCAGGAGAAAAGCCCUCUUCGAGCAAUUCAUCAAGAACUUUCAUUACCUUCUCGGCAUCAUUCAUUUUACAGACAUGAAUAAUAGUGAGAAUACACUUAAACUCAAUAGGGCCACUCGCCACAUUGCCUAGGCAGUCACGAAUUAGCAUCAUAGCUGGAUCAAUCUGUCCUAUUUUGCAAAGCCCUAUGACAAGAGAACGAUAUGCAGCAACUGAGGGAAUCAAAGACAUCUCUUUAAUUCUGUUAUAGCAAAUAGAUGCCUCCUGUACAUCUCCGACCUCUACAAAACACUGGACGGCAUUGCUAUAAGCUGAUGAAUCAGGUUCAUAAUCUGAACUUCUCAACUCAGAGAACAAUGUGAGUGCCUUGUUCACCUCGCCAUUCUGAUAGAGCGCCUCCAUAAGAAUGUUAUAUAUUGGAACACCGCAAUAAUCUUUUACUUUCAAAUAUUCAAAGACUUCUAAAGCAAUCAUAAUCCUAUCACCCUUCUCUACCAUAUAUGUGAAGAAUUUGGAUAAAUCAUCACUAAUGCAAUGGCUUAAUCGCUGCAGUUCCUCAAGCAAUUUGCAAAUUUCAUCCAUUUUCUUUGACUCUGCAUAAGACACCAAUAUGGGCUUCACAGUGGAAAAGUCAGGACAAAGAUCUUCUUGAACUGUGAUUUGGAAAAGUUUAUAGGCCCUAUCUGUUCGUUUUGCAUUGCAGAGACCUUCAAUAAUGGAAUUAUAGAUUGCCAAAUCAGCCCUAUAGCCCGACUCUAUCAGAUCUUUAAGCAAAUCACAAGCUAAACCAACUUUCCCAUUUGCUACAAACGAUUCAAUCAAAGAUCCAUAAAUCCCCCUAUCUAUCAAAAUAUUCUUUUGUUUCAUUUCCUUGAACAACUCAUAGCCUUUGUCAACUUGAUUAUUUUUACACAAACCAGCAAUAAAAGUUGAAUAAGCAAUAACAUCAGGUUCAACUGCAUCCUGCUGCAUCUCCUUCCAAACCUUUGAACAACCAUCCAAGUUCCGCUCUGCAACCAAUAUCUUUACCAUUGCUGUGUAAGCAAACACAUCUGGUUUGCAACGAUUCUCUCUCAUCCGACCCAAAAGCUCAAACACUUCAUCCAUCCGUCCUAACUUGCACAGGCCCUUUAUCAAGAUCAUGAAAGUCAUACUUUCCUCCACCAACCCAUCCUUCUUGAAAUCAUCAUAAACUGACAUAGCCAUGUCCAAAUGAUUGGUUUUAACCAAAGCAUCCAUUAUUCUGUUAUACAGAAAUACUCUUGGUUUUACCCCAAAUUUUUUCAUUUUCUCAUAAACAUAGUAUACUCUAAGACCCCUGUUAGCAUCACCAUGCAUUCUGAUUAAGAUCUCAAAUUGUUUCUCACUAGGUGGCUUUCCUUGCAUAUGCAUCAGCUCAGGAACCUGAUCAGCUGUCCGAAAUUGAUUCGCCCGAUUCAGACCAUAAGCAAAGGCAUUGUAACAAGAGAAAUCAUGCCUGUAACCUUUCUGUUUUCCUGUUAAGAUAACAUUAUAAGGAUAAGAAGAUACACAUAUACAAGCACAACACUGAUCAUCAUCAAUUUGUCUAUUCAUUUUGCUCAUUUUUUCUUGUGAACAAAACAAUAACAAAAUGCAUAGUGACUUCAUCUUUUGUAUAUAGACAAAUUUAAGGCACAACACUCUUGCGAAAAGAUCAAAACCAUGACAAUUGUAGUGUCUGAUUGCCUCAAAAUCGCACAAUUGCAUCUAUAUACUCUCCCCGUCCAGUAAAAUUCCAUGACAAUUGUGGUGUUUGACUGCCUCAAGGUCACACUACUGCAUCUAUAGACUCUCCCUGUCCCUUAAAAAUUAGCCUUUUCGAUUUUUUGUGCCAGCUUGACCCAUUUUUAGACUACAACAACAAGAAACCCAGUGAAAUCCCACAAAGUGGGGUCUGGGAGGUUAAAGUGUACACAGGUCUUACCAAUACCUCUCUGCCACCCACUUUUAGACAAAAAAUAGCAGUACAAGUUACAACAUUCCCAUUUCAAAGUGAAAACAUAACACAUUCAACAAUCUUGGAUAUCAUAUAAAAUUCCCAGAGAAGGGGAAAAUAAUGACACAAAUAACAAAUUCCCAAAAAAGUAAAAAGGGUGAAUUUUGAAUAUACCAGCCCAAUAGAAGAACUUGGAGGAAAUUUUGGGAUCAAGAUUAGGGUGUUUGAGAACCUCAGUUACAAGCUUAGGAGUGACCCUUCGUAGACUAUUAAGGUCAGCCAAAAGGGGUGCACCCCAAUUCCCAUGUUUCCUGAAUGAAUCCACUAUAUACCUAGCAAUUGGUGAUAGGCGCUGAGCUAAAGAGAAGAAUUCCUGAGAUGGGUCUCUGGAUUGUUGACCCGAAACUCCAUCCGGGUCCCAUUUUUGAAGCUGAAAAUCACCUUGGGUAACAGAGGAAGGUGAGUUUUUGGUGGUGCGGUUUGGGUUUAUGGUUUGGCGAUUGGAAAAAAGGCCUCCUUGAACUGUGGGACGAUGCUGAGUAGGUUUCCGGUGGCCGUAGAAGAAGUACGGUUUGCUUUGUGCGGAUUUGGGCGGCAUUUUUGAGUUUCUGUUCAAGUUUUUUCCUCUUCAAGAACUGAAAGCGGCUGUGCUUGUAUGAACUAUUUGCAGAAACUCUUUUGCACUUUGUUUUUUUUUUUUUAAAAAAAAGAUCCUUAAGUAAAAAUCAAUAAAAUUUGUUUGAUUUUUUUUACAACAAAAAGACUACAAUAUUAUUUUUUCAUAAGCACAUUAUUUAACUCUGCUAAGAAAAAAAAAAAACUUCAUUAUAGUUACAAAUUGAUAAUCUUCUUUACAUUUGUGUCCUUAGUUUCUGCCAAAAAAUUAGAGCUACUUUGAAGUGGGUUCCACCUUUUGAAAAUGUAUAACAAAUGUAAAAUAGCAACUAGCGACCAAAUUUCCCCUUUUGGUCUCGUGUGAAUUUUGAUACUCAACUAAAUUUAAAUUUGUACGGAAAAUUUUUAUAUUAGAAGGUAAAUAGUUUUUUAAUAAGACAAUUCUGUAUUCAAGGGAAUUCAAACUCAAAAUCUCUAGUUAAGGAUAAAAGAGUACUUAUUACUCUAUCACAAUUUUUUUGAAAUCUCUAUCAAAAAUAAAAGGAUACUUGUCACUCUACCACAAUUUUUAUCGAUAAGUAGCACCAAACUACUUAGCUGUAUAUUUGUGUCUGGAGUCUGGAAAACACCUUUUAAAAAAUAAUUAAAUAUAUGAAUGAGGUACUCAUUUUUAUUUAAAAGACUUCAAACAUGUUUUUCAUAAUCAAAAUUAUUUAUUUCAAAUUUGAAAUAUAACAGAUCAAAUUAUAAAGCAAAUUUUAUAUAUAUGAUAACACUUGAUUUGGACAUUGAUUUUUACAAUACUUCGUUAAAAUUUUAUUAUAAUAAAAUAACGCAAUUUUUUUGAAAACGCCGUAUCAAAGUAUAGAAUUUGAAUACAUUUUACUUGAUCCUUUCUAGGAUAGGCGUGAAAAGAAAAAAAAAAACUAACAUCUUCUAAUUUUUCAUUUUUCAUCAUUAACUAUUGGUCCGCACCCUUGAAUCAUAUUCAUAUUAGCAAUAAGAUAUGUAUCAACUCUAACUGAUUUUCAAGGGUAAGAACAAGUCUAAAUGUCAACAGUGUAUAUCAAGGUGCUUGAUGCGACCAUUGAUGUAUAAUUAAGCUCCACCAAACCCUUUUAGAACUGCAUCCAUGGGUGAUCUCUUCCCAUCUGUUCUAGCUUUGGUGGUAACUGCCAUGGCCGACAGAGUCACCUGAUGGUAGGUAUCCCAUAGAAUUCAUUAAGGUGCGUGCACGCAGGCCCAAACAUCACAAUUUUCUCCAAGAAAAAAAAAGUUCCGCCUAAGUAGUGAUACCAUCACCAUUCAGCUUGAACUUCUUUGAAAUGAGUUCAAAGAGAUGCACCAGGACCAUGACAUCCACUCUUUGAUCUGCCAACAUGCAUCUAAAACGACAGUUACAAGGCAUACAAGUCACAGCAAGGCUAAAAGUACAAAAGCCCUCGAUGCAUUUUAUACCUGUUGCCAAUUCCCAGAGGGGAAAAGGGUGAAGUUAUAUAAAGAUUUACAAGCUUACAUCGAGAUAUCAAAGCCACUUACAGCAAAGGUACAUGGGCUUAGCAACAUGCAAUUUAUCAUUCAUCUAUCAUACCUACCCAACUAUCCACCAUCCAACAGGAUAUUUUCUCUUUAACCAAAAAUAAAUAAAUGGAACAGAAAUGAGCUUUUUUAUGUUACAAAUUUCCGCUCAAUGCCAUAAACAUUCUCCUAUUCCACUGCCUUCCAACUUGCUUACUUUUCUACCAUCCCUCUGCAAGAUCAUGGUUGCAACUGCUCCACCAUUAGACUCAGUAACACCCAAUGAUGUUACAUAACAUACAAAAAGAUCCAGAAGUUGGUCAACUUUUCAUUGAAAAGCCAACUUAAGGAGCUGAUCAACUAGUCAUACAUGUUAAAAGUAACCCUCUUCUGUGUUUUUUCUUCUCUCCAAUUGGUCGCAGUCCUCUGUUCAUCACUUUGAAACCUUGAGCUUUUGUACCUCGGCACAUGUUGUGAAGAACUUUCCCUCUUGCGCGAACCAGUAUAAAAGGUUUUAUCACCUCUGCUAGGUCUUCCAAAAUCCACAUUUCUCUCAUUACUCUGCCUUGGUUGUUGCUGAUAAUCCCAAGACGUGACCUCAGAUCCUCUCCAUCUUCUGUCUUUUGAGGUUGUUCCACCACCUCGACUAAGAUUCCUAUUCCAACGAGAGCCAUAGUCUGAAUUCCGCUGCUCAUGCCCCCCAGUAUUCCAAUAGGUUUGACCCCAGGAACCAACGCUAUUAUCAACCCAUUCAUUUCCUUUAGCACCAGAAACACAUGCACCACUUUGAUGCCACAAAUUGCUGAAACUGUUAUCAACACAAGCAUAUCCAUUCUCAUAAUUCAUCCCCGUGUUCCAACCCCAUGACUCAUUUCCACAGCCUCCCCAGGCAGUGUCCUUCAAGAUGCCCUGGGUUUUAGGGGAACUCCUUUCCCACGGAUUAUCAUCUUUGAUGUUUACAGGGGUAUACCAUUCAUUCCAAGUCUGCUUCGUAUCCUCAAUAGAAGCACUUUCCCAAGGAUUUUCACGAUUGUCACCAGGCUUUGAGCCCUGCACAUUGCCACUUUCCCAAGGAUUUUCACCAUUAGCAGCAGUUUUAGAGCCCUGCACAUUGCCACUUUCCCAAGGAUUUUCACCAUUAGCAGCAGUUUUAGAGCCCUGCACAUUGCCACUUUCCCAAGGAUUUUCACCAUUAGCAGCAGUUUUAGAGCCCUGCACAUUGCCACUUUCCCAAGGAUUUUCACCAUUAGCAGCAGUUUUAGAGCCCUGCACAUUGCCACUUUCCCAAGGAUUUUCACCAUUAGCAGCAGUUUUAGAGCCCUGCACAUUGCCACUUUCCCAAGGAUUUUCACCAUUAGCAGCAGUUUUAGAGCCCUGCACAUUGCCACUUUCCCAAGGAUUUUCACCAUUAGCAGCAGUUUUAGAGCCCUGCACAUUGCCACUUUCCCAAGGAUUUUCACCAUUAGCAGCAGUUUUAGAGCCCUGCACAUUGCCACUUUCCCAAGGAUUUUCACCAUUAGCAGCAGUUUUAGAGCCCUGCACAUUGCCACUUUCCCAAGGAUUUUCACCAUUAGCAGCAGUUUUAGAGCCCUGCACAUUGCCACUUUCCCAAGGAUUUUCACCAUUAGCAGCAGUUUUAGAGCCCUGCACAUUGCCACUUUCCCAAGGAUUUUCACCAUUAGCAGCAGUUUUAGAGCCCUGAACAUUACCACUUCCCCAAUGAUUUUCACCAUUAUCAGCAUUUUUAUCCUCCCAUACCAGGGUGCAUCCAGGAACUAAGUUGUUCUCAGACUUGACAGAGUUUUUAACUUCAUUAGGGUUAAAAUAUUCUCUGUCCAAAUCUAAUAUCAGCUCCGGAUCGAUAGCUGAGUCCCAAUCAACUUUAUCAAUGUACAAAUCUGGAUUGGGAGGAGGAUUCUGAGGGGGAAGACCACGAAUCUCCGCCCAAUAUCUCCUUUUUGCAUCGUUGAAUGCUUCUUGACCUGCAGAAUCAUCCCACUUAACCACAUUUUCAUAACAGUACAUAUAUGUUUUUGCACUCACAACCUUGUGCCAGGGAAUCCCGGCUGCUCUGCAGAAAUCUAUUUCCCAUAAUGGGACACUGUUUUGCUGGAUAGCUUUAAAAGGCCAAAAAGAAGAAGUUAUCAGAUUCUGUAGAUAAUACAAGACUUGAUAGCAUUCAAGCAGAUGUGCAGAUGAAAAUAUUUUAUGUGAAAUAGACUUUUCAUUUAAUUUUAAAAGAAGAUGAAGAAAGAAGAAGAAACUGAAGGAAAUAUAUGAAGAGAUGUAUUUUAUUAAAAUGACAAAACUUCCACAACAAUCAGAAUUCCAAGCAUGUCUAUCAAGAUCUUUUUACAUAUACAUACACACGUGUAUAUGUGUGUGUAUAACUUUUAAAGCACAUAAUCUAGACACACAAAUUUCAGAGGAAUAUUGGAGCUGGGUCAGCUGGCUUCAACACUUCCAACUUUCUACCAACUCCACUUAAAUACCAGACUUGGUUCACCAGUUAGGAUUUGAGUCGUGACUUGUGCCAACCACAAUCUCGAGCCCUACUGCCUUUUGCCCUGAACUAAAUCUCUGAGGCAGGAAUAUAAUUCCUUGUACAAGAGGUUAGUGUAAAAGGACAGCUAUUCAAUGCUUGUUAUUUUCCAGGUCAAAACAAUGACAAAUUGAAACAUGAACCAAUUUCCUUAACAGAGAAGGUAUACGUUGUCUCCCUAUUUACAGAUUCAGCUAGGUCCCCUUUCAACAAUUCUCCUUUAUAUUAUUUACAGUAACCCAGACAAGCACCUCACAUGCUUCUGAUUUUUAAAUAUCUACCUUCCUAACAUAAUUACGGACCGAAAAGUGAGAAUGACAGACUUUGCAGCAAUAACAGUCUCAAGAGAUAAGAAUGACAACCAAACAUUUCUGGAAGACGAUUCACACGCGAAAAUUUAAAAAGAGAAAGGUCUUCCUCAUAAGCUAAUUGGUAGAACAAAUUAAUAAUUAGACAGAGGUUCAAGUCCCAACUAAGGGGGGUGAAUCAUUUUAAAUUCUUAGUUACAGCUUCAGGGACUCGUGAAAGACAAGCUUAAUCCAAUAGAAUGUAAAAUACUCUAUCUUACAAAAUAUUUCAAAAGGAGGACAAAAGUUUACUAUUCUAUGGCAUCACUAUUUGAUAUGAACUUCUAAUGCUAUCAACCAAUUUUAGCAGGUCUAAGUAGUCAAGGUAUCUGUUCUAAGAACUUAAAAGGCACAGCAACAUAGCUCUCAUCGUUUUCCUAAAUUCAGAACUGGGAAAAUAAAUGAAGUCACAGUUCUUACAGAAGCGAUUCAGUAUGAUAUGUGAAAUUAUAGGAAGAUGAUAAUAUGUAAAUGGUCAAAAAGGGUAUCAAGAAUCAGAGCUCUAAGGCACUGAUAACUGAUAACUCCCCCACCCCCCUACACACGUAGUUCAAUAACUCUACAACAACAACAUAACCAGUGUAAUCAACAAAAUUAAUUAAUCAAAUUUGACAGUUCUCAUCAUCAUUAAGACUAGAAGUAUAUUGGUCAAAAGCGCAACGGUCACAGCUUCCAACAGAUGGAAUAGUUUAGGGGUCGGAAAUUUUUUAAAAAAAGAACAAAGGUAACAGACAGAAAUAAAAAAAAAAUUUGCAUAUGACUAUGGGGACUUAGCAAUGAGAAGCACAUUCUAAUGGGAAAUGAGUGAUUAGGGGAAAGUAUGGGAUGUAUGGAAAUUGGAUUUCAGGAACAACAAGUGGCUCCAUUGAGUAGCCCCACUGACGCAUAUAAGGAGAUUCUACCACCAGGUUUACAUGGCAGAGAAACCAGAAAAUGGUCUACUCCAUAGGUAUUAAGGUAUAACUCUAAAAGUCUUUUCAGAUUUAUUUACCUAUUCCUACACCAGGAGAUCUCCAUAAGUGAAUGCAGAACUGUAGAAAAAAGAAAUUGAACAUGAGGAGGAAUAUUUUCAAUCGACAGAUCAAUUGAAUGGAUCUAUCAUGGUCAGAUAUUCAGCUACUUUAACCAUAACACUAGGUGCUUACAAAUCUUAAAUUCUUGGUAUAAUCUGACUUUAGUAAAUGAUGUCAAUUCUUUUGUAGAUUUCACAGAUUACUAGCAGUGAAGUAACUCUGCCAUAUCUUGAAGUGCCUUAGUGAAGUUCUCAGAGAAAUUAUUAACAUCACUUAUUACUCAAAAGAGAAAAAGACUAGAAGUUAUAAAUAUUAGAGAAGCUAGCACUAUUUUGUUUUAAAAAUCCAUCAGUAAGACGAACACAAUCUAAAAGAAUCUUGUGAUGGCCAAUCUGUUACAUUGUAAGAAAAAAGAAUCUUGUGAUGGCCAAAUAUCAUGGAGAAAAGAAAAAACAGUCAAUCAAGUGUCUCCAUUGGAUAAGUAACAACAACGCGUUCACGUUAACAGUAAAAUAUUCUAUCACCAGCUAAGAAAUAAAACUUAAUCAUACAGCCACCCAUUUCCUUAAAAUAACAACUUUUUUCCUUUUCCGAAACAUCGUUCAUUUAUAUUCUACCAGAGUGUAUGUAAACCUUCACUCAAAUAACAAAAACAAACGGAAAAAGAAAGGAAAAAUGUGCAUCUUGACAAUAUCAACUUGGCAAUGGCAUACCACUAAUGAAGAGGACCAGCCACGUCUUUGUGUUAAAACGUGUUUGGUGCUUCAUAUGGGAAACAAUUCCUUCCUAGUUGUUUAUGAUCACAAAUUGAUUUUAAUUUUCUCGAUUUCCAUCUGCUCGUGGGACUUCCUCAAUUUGUUCAAAUGUUGUUCGCUGAGGCAGAGCUAGGUAGUAAUCAGGGGGUUUGGACAAAUCCCCUUCGCCGGAAAAUUACGCGGUAUAUAUAAGGUUAAAUCUGCAUUUUAGGUAUAUAUAUCAUAAAAUGAGCCCCCUCAACCCUUACCUGUAGCUUGGUUCAGCGGUGAAGGUUCAAAUGUUGCAAGGGGUCACUGGUUCCAUUCCCCGCGAUAACAUUUUUUAAAACUUUUAUUUCCCUUUUCUACCUAUGGUUAUUACCCACGUGCCACAACUAUCUUACAUAGGAUACAACUUCUCGUGAUUUAUUUAAUUAAAAAAGAAUAAGAAAGAUAAUAGCUAUUUAAUUCUCAUUCUCUAGAUUUCAUUCCAAACAUUAAUAAAAGUAAGUCCCCUCACUUAUUAAUGUCUUCUUUGUUUUAUGCUUAAUUAUGAUAAAGUAUUUUAUUUAUUUAUUUAUUUGAACACAUCAAAUUUAUUUGUCAUAAUAUAUUUGAACUUAUAACUUUUUUCUCUACACAAUGAUCCCCAUAACAAUAAUGAAGUUUAUAAAAUGAAAGGAAAUGAGCCAUGUGGGUUACUAAGUAAUUUUUUAAUAGCAUAAAAAAUAUACAGUAUCCAUAUAGUUACACUAUGAUAUUUAUCUUUAUUUUUUAAAGAAAAAAGUACUUUCUUCAAUUCAAAUUUAAAGGGAAAAAAUGCACAAAAUGUGCAGGAAAAAAUGUUAAAAGGAGCAUGAUAGGGCGAGUUAAAAUUUAGGGGUUAAGGUUAGUCAUUCUCUUGGUCACCCAACCCGUUUAUCAUCCUACAAUCCUUACGUAUUUACUUUCUCAUAGUUUUAACCCCUCGAUGGAAAUCCUGCCUCCGCCACUGGUUGUUCGGCUGGUGUACUAGACUAGAAAAUAAAUUCAGGAUGUAUAAACUAGUUAUUGUUUAGUAUAAAAUCUAUGUACUUGUCAAAAGUACUUAAUGCUUCGAGUGGAUGAGUUUUUAGAGUACCAGAAUCUCUCUCAAGCAAAUGAAAACAGAAAACCAAAUAUUUAGGCAGAUAAUAUAUCAAGGAAACAUGACUAUUUUCAUCAAAUAAACAUUGAGACCCUGUUUGGAUGGUUGUUACUUAUUGUUAUGAUCAUAAUGUAUCGUAUCGGUAUUGUACUAUUUUGUUUUAAUAAAUACAAUAUUUAGAUAGAUUACAUUGUUCUCCGUCAUUACAUAAUAUUAGACAUCAACAAUUUAAAUGCCAGGGGGGAGAGAUUCUAUGAAAAGGUAGGGUAAACCUAAACGACAAAAUAGCAUUAUUAAAUAAUAAGUAAGACAAAAUAAGAAUAACGACACAAUCACACCCGAUCCAUCGUUACACAAACUGGGGUGGGGUUUUCGUCGUUAACUAACGAUUCAUUACACAAAAAUGGGCCUUUUCGUCGCUAAUGAUGGAUUUAAACAUACCAACAAUCAAAACAAUAAAAAUUAAACCAACAAUCAAAACAAUGUUUAAAAACUAAUAAAACAGUACAUACAAUGGGUAGCAGCCAUCCAAACAAAGUGUAAAGCUUGUUCUUUAAUGGAUCCUCUGCAGUCUACACAUACAGAGGCAACCUCUAACUAAACUAAUCAUCCAAAUGAAAAAAAAACUAAUCAAACAAAAGAAAACCCAAAAUUUUUCACCGAAUUGUAGAUCAAGAAAACACCAUCGGCAUUAAUCGAUACAGAAAAUAAUUGAUAAUCAACAAAUAGCAUGAAACAGUACCUAAAAAAGAAAAAAUAAAAAGAAGACAGACGAGUACCAUGAUAAGGAGAUUGGUUGUAAUGGUACGGCUGAGAAGGGGGGAAAUCUUCCUGCUUGUAGUUCUUUCUGGGUAUCCAUCUUCUUCUGUUCCAAUUCCCCAUUUUUGGAACUCAAAAAAAGCAAAAAUAAGAGUUUAUUUUCAGUCGGCACUCGGCAAAAGGGAAAUACUCAGAUUGAAGAUGUUUUAGG